UGUGCUCUUCCCUCCUUUGCGCCUUCUGGAUCUUCUUUCUCGUGAAGUUUAGGGCUUGAGGUGGGUUUGUCCAAACCCUACACACUAGGUGCUCGAUGUUUUGCCCGAAUUGAUCAGAUUGCCAUUUUUAAUGAUGUUCUCGUUCAUUUCACCUUUUCAAUGCCUUGGCGUGUCGAUCCAUGUUUUCCGAUGGUUUCCUAUCUCAUCUUUUCACCAGGAACGCCUCUCAUCUAAGGUAGUAAGCCUUAUCUUCUAGUUUCUUAUCUAUUGCUUGCUUCCAUUAGGGUCUCUUGUCUCUAGCUAUUAUGUUUGCUUAUGUAUACCCUACCUAUUCCAUCUCUUGCAGCGGUUGAGUCAUGUUUUGGCCAGUUAACAAGUGUCAGUUGAAAUCGGGGCCAAGUUCGCGAGUACGAAUCGAUUGAGGCCAAGCCUCUUGAGUGCCAGCUCACCAUCUAUCUAAGCAGCAUGGCAGUUUGUCUUUGAGUUUCUUGCAAUGACACGUUGCAAGAACGUCAGUGGGCCAGCUAGUGGAGGUGGAGGUACUCUAGGAGAUGAUGGGGGUGGUGAUAGACCCCGUCGCUUCACAGCAGCAGAGAAGGGAAAAAAGGUCCUUGCCAAGAAGAGGAAAGCUAGUGACGGAGAGGUAGAGGUAGCUCGAGCAGUGGCAGCAGCAGCUGAGGCCGCAAAGGUUGGGGGUCAUCGGGGCUCACUUCGGAUUGGAUCUGAGCUCAUGACCGCCCAGUGAUGUGGAGUACUUGUGUUAGAGCAGCAGCAUGGCCCUCCACCAGGCACCAUCAUGAUCGGAGGACGUCAGGUCCAGAUUGAUGUGAGAGAGUUAGUUCAGGAGGAGCCAGCUGAGGAGACAGAGGAGCAGCCAGAGGAGCAGCCCCUUAGGAGGUCGAUUUGAGCUCAUACCUAGGCUGCCUCUAGGCCUGCUACGCAACAUCAGUCACGCCCUCUGGCUAGCUCCUCACCACCAGCUCAUUCUACACCAACUUCCACACCAGCUCGCAUUCAUAAGGACUACACCAAGUUGGCUACUCGUCAAAUAUAGGAGCUUAGGUUCGCAACCUUUCCCAUCUAGCUCCCUCCCACCAGAAAUCACAGAGCUCAUGCCAGAUUCUACAUAGUGGUCUAGGAGGACAUGUAUAUGGCAUAUGUCCACAGUGAGGCUCAGUUUAGAGAGCCGAGAGUGGUUGACCUUGAGGUACUGGGUAACGGUGUUGGACAGGACAUCAGGCCACUCUUGUCAUAUCUUCCAGGUCUUGCUAAGUUCCUAGCUCUACCGGGCAAUUAUGCGGAGGAGUGGGUUCGUGAGUUUUAUGCAUCAGUGUGGGUUGCACUAGACCAUAGCUACAUUCACUACACACUAGCAGGCACAGGUUACAGAGUCACACCUCAGCAUGCUAGAGAGACUUGGGGUCUUACUACUUUAGAGACCAAGAUUCAUGAGCUAUGCUACUCAGGGAUAGAGCCCCUCGAUGUCCUCAUGGUGGUGAGCUACCUUCUAUUGAUUGUAUCUCAACCUGCUACCGCCCACCUUUUACUGAGGGCUCGAGUCGUGUCGUUAGUGGUCUUACCCGUCCUGCACGUAUCUUAGACUUUGUGAUGAGGAAGACCUUGCUACCUAGGCCUGGCUAUCGUGAGGGAUUCACCAGGAUUUAGCAGUGGCUUAUAGCUCACCUAGUGGCUUAGUGAGAGUUUCACAUCUAGGAUCUCAUAGUGUCAGAGAUUGAGGACACAAUUGCUGAGGGAUUCAAGGACUGUCGUCAGUUGCCCUAUGCUCACUGGUUGACUUAUUUGAUUCUUCGGGCUCGUGUAGAUCCUCUCCCACCUCGCAUUCAGAGAGAACUGACAAAUACAGUGACAGUCUUUCCACACUAUGAUCCUAGACAGAUGAUCAGGAUUCAUGUGGACCUACGAGCUCCAGCACCCCCAUAGGCACCACGUGGACGAGCUCCAGCGCCUUCUCCUAGAGCUACACAGAGUACACGGGCUGUACCUUAGACAGAGGAGGAGUAGGACAUAGCCAUUGGAUCAGUUGCAGAGGUUGAGGCAGAGCAAGAGUUUGAGUUUGCCAGUGAUAGCUCAAAUGAUGAUUAUCAGCUACCUAUUCUAGAUCUCCCUCCAAGGCAGCAUGAUCGCGAGGCUGGCAGCACCACCACUACAGACCCUGCCUUAGUUGCUAUACUUGAGAGCAUGAGAGCAGAUCAGUAGAGGGCAGCAGAGGAGCAGGCACGUUGUGAUAGGGAGUAGGUUGCCACCAAUGCAGCACUGCAAGCUAGACAAGAUGAGCUCUAGAGGCAGCUUCUCGCCUUUCAAGAGUAGCAGCUUGCAUUCCAGACCAAACAAACAGCUAUGAUGGUAGCACUGAUGGCAGCGAUCGGGAUUACUCUUCCACAGGUGCAGCUUCUAGGCACUUCCCUAGUCAGGCCACCGACUCUAGCUGGAUAGCCCAAUGGGUUUCAGAGUCAGUCGCAGCAGCCCCUCCAACUUCGUGCUCAGAGUCAGCCUUUUACCACUUGUCACACCCGGUUUUCCAAAGAAUACCAAGAGCUAACUAUAUGUGUGCCUAGGAUGUCCACACGACACAUAUAGCGACAAAUAUGGAGAAUAUCAAGAACAAUGCUUUAUUAUAUAUCGAAACAUAGUUACAACAAGGCUUACAUCUAUUACAAAGCAUGGAGGAAACUAUUCUAUAUCUUCUCUUUGGGUCUCCAUACUCCACAGGGACGGUUGACUGGGGGUACACUUGCCUAGUACUAUGGGAAUGUCUUAGGGAACUCCAUCUUUGCAUCACCACCUAGUACCCAUUUGGGAUUUUUUUAUUGUUGAAUGUAAAGCAAGUGUGAGCGCACCAUACUCAACAAGUAUAACAUGAGGGGAUGCAAGGCUCAAAAGGCUUGACUUGGUUUGACUGCGAUAAGCAUUUUUAGUUGGUCAUAUUUUAUUAUUAGACCUAUGUUGCUAGGUUAUGCUUAAGCUCCCAUGGUGAGAAGUAUAAUAAUUAUUAUCAAGAUUAAUCAUCAACCCAAACCAUCCAUUGAACCAUCUAUCUCGAAAAGGAUCCAGGCUGCUCUUGACCGAGAGAACGGCUGAUAUAUCAGUUUUUAUAACUCUACAGAGUAUGUACAUCUUUACCCAUGAGUUGUGAUUGCCCUUUGCCCGAGGGGGCCAACCUCUUGACUCACUUCCAAGGUAAGUCGGUAGGGAUCACUAUGUAACCUUUCACUAGACACCCUAAUUAGUUAGUGACCGCGAGGUUUUAGCGGCAAGUGUGCAUAGAGACCUCCUCCAAGAGGCACAUGUGAUCGCGGCACUGUACACACCAAGGUAGGAGCAAAACUAUACACCACAAGGCACCCCCCUCUUGCACCUUUCGGUAAUCACUAACAAGCUAGAGACGUACUAGAUACUUGAUAAAGAUCAGAGCCAUGUGAUUCUCAUGGUUGUACUAUAAGUCCUGGGUUGCCGCUUUAAGAUUCAGUCCUUAUGGAGGGCAGACUAGAGCACCCAAAAAGGCCCAAUGCUCUAGCCCCCUUAUAUCCAUGUUGCUAGAAAGCAUCAUUAUAUAUUGAUUCCAUAAUCCAUUAGUCAAGAUUAGCUUUAUAUAGUUGGGUGAUUGCAAGCUAAGCCAAACUAACCAUAUGCAUAACCCAAAGGUAACAAGGAAUACAAGUUAACAAAGGUUCUAGGUAUAGUCCUUAUAGGUUCAUCAUUUUAGACACAUGCAUAUGAAAAGGUGAUUAAAUGGUUAUUGGGUAACAAGGGAACUCAUGUUACACUUGCCUUCCAAUUGCUUGGUAUGCAACUUCCAACUUCUUGAUCAUCCUUGUAGAGCUCCUCUUCUAACGAUAGCAACAACCAUCACAAGCAUCAAAGACAAGCCAAAAAUAGUACAUCAAUCAUUGUAAAACUUCAUAUAAAGGUUUUAAAACACUAGGGCUUGUAACUACGAUCGUUGAGCGCAGAAACAACUAAAACAAAGCUACGGUUUAAAUAUAUGAGAGAUUGAAGGUUUAGUUGGAAGAGGAUUGAUGUUAGAUGUACAUGUUAAAGAUUGGGAGAACAUGUUCAUUAGAAUAGAAAGGGAUCAUGUAUGUAUUAGUCUUAGACACAUGAUCUGAUUUGUGAGAGAAUUAUAUAUUGUCAAGGAUGGGAUCUGUUGUGAGGUGUGUAAUGGGUUACAAGAGAGACUAUGGAUUAGAUUGAUCUAUAUUAUGUCAUAUGGUGUUGAUAUUAUUUGAGUAGAAAUGAGGCCAUUUGAUGUGAGCUAUUAAGGUUGGUAAUUGGAUAGUUGAUAUUCAUGGCUUUGAGGAGGAUAGAUGUAUUGGUUGACCCGGAAACAUGAUUGCAAACACAGGGUGGCAUGGCUGUUUGGACAGUGGGGAAAUGAAUAUUGCGGCCUCAAUAUCUUGGCCAUCAUGGAACACUUAGAUAUGCCAACUUGCAGGGAUAUGUGUUAUGGCAAUUUUCCAAAGUUUUCUUAAGGAUUUGACCAUUUAGAUAGUGGAUCAGUGGGGAACAUGGUGAAACACCGGUGCAGCCAGAACGUGCAUGAUGGCAGAUAGCUGAGAAAUGGAUCACAAAGAAUAGGGCCAUAGCAGUUGUAAUUGGCACUGCAUUUUGUGAGGUUGUAGUGGACUGCAUAGAGUACAUACUAGAAAAAGGGCAAUUUAAUUUGAGCUUUGGCUGGUCGGGAAACACAAUUGCAAAAUGGGGAUGCAUGACUGUUGAGACAGCAGGGCCAGCGAGCGAGGCGACAUUAAUAUCCUCAGUGUCGCAGCUCCCCUGGCGGUGAAAUUUUGUGGAUGUUUGUCCAAGGAUACGAAACACAUUGUGACUGAAGGAGAUGGUCACUGGAGUGAUGAAACAACAAGAACAUGCAUGCCAAUCAGUUGUAGCAUAGCUGCGGGGCAGUAGGAACAACGAGCACAAAAAUGAUUAUGACUCUUUCAUAUUGGACUCUAUAACCAUGGAAUUUUAUGGAAACAUAUGCAGGUAUAUGAAAGAUAUUCUAGCCAAAGGAUUCAUCAAAUGGAUCAAUGGAUAAAUGGGGAACGCCAAAACAAUUUAAUGUUGCACAACAUCUAGGACAGCAGAACAGCGGGUACUAAAAUGAUGGUAUCUCUUUCAUCUUUGAACUUAUGGUGACAAAACUUUGCAGAAGCGUGCAUAGAUAUAUUAUGCACCUGUGGGUUAAAGGGAAUGAUAAACCGAAAGGUCGAUUUCUAGAAACAUGUAUGACAAUGGGUCAUGCAGUGAUUGCUAGCAAGGGACAGCAGCGUGAUCAUGUGGAAACUUCAUCAAAGUUGACCGAUUUGUGAACUAUGGAUUGUGAGUUGCAACUGAGAACAACACAUCAGGCAAAGGGGGCAUGUGUGGGUUCUCACAUUGGGAAAUUAUAGCAGCUGAUGAUCAAGUUAAUGGCAGCCAGCAGCAGAAUGGGUGACGAUAGGGCCACUGACGGUUGAGGCAACUUCAAUUCCUCCUCGCAAAGUAUCAUGCACCAUAUGGGAGAUCACGAUAUGGUUCAGAGGGUCAAGAACAGCUGAUUCGGAGGAGAAAGAAAGUAGCAACCUUGCGGUUUGGUGUGGGUCAGCGGUAGCCGAUGGUGACGACAUCGCUGCGAGGACAACGGGUCGACGAGGCAGCAGCAAUUCUCCUUGGGGACGAUCAAGAAAAAAAGGUUGGCGUCCAUGGGCUCCAAGAUCACUACUGCAGCAGCACUGCUCUGCGGUGUCAUCGGAGCUUUGUUUUGGUGGAUGCGCAGCAGUGGGAGGUAUGAGAUGUGGAGGGGCAUCCUGGCUGAUGGGGGGGGUGGAGGAAUGGAAAAAAAGAUGAGGAGUCCUUCUCUAGUGGUGGCGUGUGGGAGAGAAAGGAGGAGAUGAGGGGAUAUUUAUAGCUGUUGUUUGCUGCAUGAGAGCAUGCAAAUGAGGAGAGAGUAAAACCAAGGAAAUAAAAGGGUGUUAUCAAAGGAGAUUUGAAGAGAGGUACCUGCUGUUUUGUGCGUGAGAGAGAGGAGGAAAAUAUAUGACUGCUACUUCCUGCAUGGAUGCAUGCAAAUGAAGAGAGUAAAACCGAUGGAGUAAAUGGGUGCUAUUGAAAUCAGGUGUGACUCAAAGGAAUCAAAGGAGAUCAUUAUUUGCAGCAGUUGUUUUGCUUGGGAAGAGAGUGGCGGCUCCUGUGUGUGUCGAGCAUAAAAGAAAUAAGGGAGAAGGGGUGAUGCAUGGCUAUUUCAUGAGCCACUUACUAAUGCAAUUAGAUAGUGGUAAGGGAGAGUAAGCACUGGUACAGGAAAGGCCUUUAGCCCCGGGCCGUAAGGGCCUUUAGUCCCGGCUACAGAACCGGGGCUAAGGUUUCGGGACUAAAUGUCCCACCUUUAGUCCCGGUUCCGGGAGCCGGGGCUAAAGGUCCACCUUUAGUCCCGGUUGGUAAAAGAAACCGGGACUAAAAGGUGCGUCACGGUGUGCCACCUGGCCUUAGAUUUUUUUUUUCCUUUUCUUUCCUUUUGGUUUUCCAUUUAGGGUUUAUAAUUAUGUUAUUAUUAUUUUUGAAUGCAUAUUAUUUGCUGCUAGUUUAUGGAAACGCGCACCUAUAAUUUUUAUAAUUUAAAGCAUUACAUAUAAAUAUACUUUAAAACACUAUAUAUAUAUAUAUAUAUAUUAUAUGUAUCCAUAGGUCCAUAAUAUAAUAUUUAUAUAUGCAUCACGGAUAAAGUAUUUACAAAAAAAAAAUUAUCUCUGCCACUCAAGCAUCGUACAAAUGAUCAUCGUGAUUUGGUUUCAUUGGCUCCUCAGGGUUGAAGUAGCACUCGCCGUCGGGAUUCAGGACUUAGUCGUUAAGAAAUCCUUUGAUUGUCUAUUGAAUUCCUUUUAGGCGGACCGCAUCCAACACCUGCUCCUUCAACCACAUCUCCUUUAAUAGACAUUAAAGAAAAAAGUUAGAAGUAUGAAUAGGAUUUAUUAAAUAGCAAAAAAUAAAUGAAAUAAACUUAUUAUAUAUACAUGUUACAUACUUUUAGGUGCUCAAGAUUAGUUCUUUUAGCAUAGACCGUCAUAAACUCGCACGCAUAGUAGCCACACAAAUUGUUUGCCCGGUGUCUGCCGUAGAACCCACUGAAGUAAGAUAGGCUUUAAAAGUGGCGCUUUCAAAUCUGGACGGUGUUUUUGCACGAACCCAGCCCAAACCCUAGCAAUAAAACGAUCAUUAUUAAUUAUCUAUUACCGAGUUAAAAGAGCAGAAUUUAAUAUUUAGAGAUCGGAGUUACCCUUCGAUAAUAUCUAUCGUUUCUUGGUAAUCUUCCGGUGGUUUUCUCAACGAGUCAUAGAUUACCAAUUGACAUUGCCAGAGAUCAAUGACAACUAGUAUCCAAUGAAAGCUGCAUUUGUGUGCAUGUAGGCAAAAUUAUUAUAUAUCUUCAUACUGAUCUGAUUAAUUAGUUAAAUAGAAUGUACACAUGAUAACAACACUUACUUAAAGCUAUAGGGAAAGAGUAUAUAUUUUUUGUCUUUUUGAUUGAUCAAGAACCUCCGUAGAUUUCUCUCCGUUUGAGUUCUCCAUAAGACAUACAGGGUCUUUACGUCUUUGAAUACAACAUUUGGAUCCACAAAUCCAAUCUCCUUGUCAUUUCUAACUCUAAGGUCCCUCAUCGUGUUUCUGCAUAUGUAUAGCGGGUUUCUGUAAUUAGUUAUACAUAUACAUGAUAAGUUACAGUGACAUUAUUGAAAGAAAGAAUCACUUACAGACAAAGUACUGACUCCCACAAGUUUUUCAUAAUCAGCAAAGUACUAACUCCCAUCAUCUUCGCGUUGGGGAUCUUGGCGUCGCUGUUGAUUAGGUCCAUCAUUGCAUCAUCCAUGUUGUCAUUCGGAUUGGUCAUUUCUGCAAAUUUAAUCAAGUGUUAAAAGUUAUUUGUCAAAUCUCGUACUUAAUAUGUCCAACGCAAAAGUAUUUGACGUGAUCAACAUAAAUUAUUUGGAUAGGUUAAACUUAGACAAUAUUUGGAUACAAUAUUUGUCCACACAUUUUGGGAUUUUUAUCAUAAAGAUAAAUAUAGCUUUUGAGUGGUUUUAAGAGGAUUUUUAUUGUAAAAUAUUUGUCUACAUAUUAUCUAAUGAAUAUUUUAAUACAUAUAAAUAUUUAUCAAUAACUAAAUCUAGAUGUGUAACUUUUUUAUAAAUAUCUAAAAAACGAAAGCACUUCCAUUUUUUGUCCUUUAACUCUUGCAUAGAUAGAUAAAAACGAUUGGAUAAAUAAAAACGCCACUGCAGGAUGUAAUUAAUUUGCGAGACAAAUUUGCGAGACAAAUUUUUUGCAAGUAAACAAGGCCCUCCAGAUAUAUGUUUACAAUAUGUAAUUAAUUUGCAAGACAAAUUUGUGAGACAAAUUUUUUGCAAGCAAACAAGGCCCUUUAUAUAUAUGUUUACAGCAUGUAAUUAAUUUGCGAGACAAAUUUGCGAGACAAAUAUGAUAAACGAAACACUUCCAUAUAUAUGUAUACAUGCCUUAGCUAAAAAUUAGAUAAAAUUAGCUAAGAGUAUUAAAUAUAGAGAAAAAAUAACUAAUUACACAGUUCAUAGGGAAACCGCGAGACAAACCUUUUAACCUUAAUUAGUUUAUGUUAGCCAUAAUUGCUAUAAUAACACAAAUAUGCUAAUAACGGAUUAGUUAGAUAUAAUAAAUUUGUCUCACAGUUUUUAGAGAAAUUAGGUAAUUAAUUUUUUAAUUAAUAUCCAAACUGCUCUUUUGGUAUUCCAUAAAAUAUUCGAUACAACAACUAAGCACUUGUUUAGUUUUGAAAAUUUUUUGGUUUUUGGUACUGUAACACUUUUGUUUUUAUUUGACAAAUAUAUCAUAUAAAUUACACUGUAAUUAUGGCUAACAUAAACUAAUUAAGCUUCUACACAGGAUAAAUAACAAUAACUAAUUACAACUAAGGCCUUGUAAAAAUAAAUUAUAAAUUUCAAGUUUUUACACAGGAUAAAUUAUAUCAUAUAAAUUAUAUCAUACAAAGGAUAAAUUAUAAAAUAGAAAUGAUAUCAUCUCAUCUCAAUAUAUAUACAACAGAGCGCUCAACACAAUUUCUAAAAAAAUCAUCACAAGUGCCGACCAAGAAUUAUACUGCACAGUACGGUGACGGCCGAGAUCAAAAAGCUCGCAGCGGCGGCCGAGAGAAGAAGCUCGCAGCGACGCCGGAGAAGAAGCUUGCGCAGCGGUGCCAGAGAAGAAGCUCGCGCGGCGCCAGAGAUCGAAUAAGCUCGCAGCGGUCGCCGGAGAAGAAAGUGGUGUCGGUAGUACGAUGGCGGCGCUCCUCGGCUCGACCCGAGGACGAGGGGGUGGCUGCGGCGGCGGCGCUCCUAGCCGGGCCCGAGACGACGGCGCUCGGCCGGGGACGAAGGCGCGAGGCGACGGCGGGGAGCAGCGCGCGGCGGAGGAAGAAACUAGGGCAGCGUCGAACUGGAUCGAGGAGGAAGACGACUGUUCGGUUAAAUACACGCGGGGACUUUUAGUCCCGGUGCGUAUCACCAACCGGGACUAAAAGGUCUUUAGUCCCGUGUUAAUGCAAAGACAAAUCUGCAAACACAAAGGGCUAAUACCCGAUUUAAACGUUGAGGCGUUCCAGCCGAUUUGCAAUCGACAAAUGUGAUAACUUGAACACUUUGGUCCCGACAAUAGCGAUGCGCCCGGAUGUUACGACCAAGAGAUGUUCACGCGGAACUUGAGAAUUCGUCGAGUAUGACUUGAUGAAUCCUUAAGAACUCGUAGAAGAAAGAAAAAUAUGUUGGUUGACGAAGUCGUCAAAAAAGUAGAUGCAAAAGUAGAUGUAAAACUUGUGUAUGAUAUUGAUUGAUUGUCUUCUUACAUCGCUACUAGGACUAUAUUUAUACUCUGUCCUAAAGAGUUACAACUGUACACGACUAGGAUUUUAAUUCCAAACCAAACAGAACUCGUACAUAAAAUAAACUCUAACAAAUAUGGAAGUAACUACCUAUCCAUCCUGGUGAUCGGCAUGCCACCAUUGUCUUGAUCGGCACACGCCCUACAUCUCUUUCUUCAUCGGCAUCGGCAAUCAUUAGUAAUCAGCAAUGAUCGGCAACUACCACCAGACUUAGCAACAUCUCCCUCCUGUUGUUCUAUCAUCGACAUCAUCGGCUAUCGGCAAUCUUCUUUAUCGGCCAGACAGAUCACCUCUCUGACUGCCGAUUCAAGCCUUAUUGACUAUCCCGAUUUGUGUCCCAAAAAACGGUGUCAACAUAUGCCCCCCAAUUUUGGAGUAUGAAAUCAUUAAUGCUAUGAAAUUCUCUCCUAAUAAUGAUGACCUUUUCGCAAUUAUUUUCUUCUAGCAACAAUUAAUUACCAAAUCCAAACAACCUUAACCCGGAUCUCCAGCGACUAACUCGAAUCUUUCAAACACCCGAGCCAAAUCUCAUAGAAAUACGCUCAUCGGCAACUGUUUUCUGUUAGGGUUAAUUGCCGAUGGACCGACCAAAAGAUCAUGUACAGUGAAAUAUCUCCUAAAAUCAUGAUUACUUGCUGUCAAAUCACCUACACAAUCUCUUGAUUAUUGUGCGAACGGUUACCAUAUCCACGUAAACACCAUCGAAUUUCACGGAUACGGCAAAGAGAUAAGUCAAAAUUACCCCUGCUCACUUCAACCUAUAAAUACUCCCUUCCUCAGCACUCUUUCUCCACCUUGCCAUUCUCCAUUCCCAAAUUCAUCUCCUGGCGGCGGCAUUGACGAAGGACUCAAGAACUCCAGCAGCAAAGAACCUCCCUUAGAAUCUUCAAGUCUUUGACUUCUCCUUCUUCCUCGAGAAGAAAUGGCCAUCAACUUCACCGUGCCUAAGGUUAAUCCAUUCCCAUUCUCUCUUUCCUUUACUGUAAUCCUUUACUGUGGGGGUAUAAACCCCUAUACCCUUACGGCUAGACUUCAGCCAGGAAGCUUGGCCCACUACGAGACGAGUUCAAGGCUUGAUCCGACAGCCCGAGUUUCGCGCAAGGAAACAAGACGUGGAGAUCAAGCAGGAUUCUAGUCGGUUAGAAUAGGAAUUGAUAUCGAAUUAUCUAUGGCAAUUGUAACCGACUAGGAUUAGUUUCUAGAUCUGUAACCCUGCCCUCCAGACUAUAUAAGGAGGGGCAAGGGACCCCCCUAGGACAUCAUAUAUUCUCUCAGCACAAAUCAAUACAACCUGACGCAGGACGUAGGUAUUACGCCAACUCGGCGGCCGAACCUGGAUAAAAAGCUUGUCCGUGUCUUGCGUCACCAUCGAGUUCGUAGUUUGCGCACCGUCUACCGAUAAACUACUACCGUGGGUAUACCCCAAGGUAGACUGCCGACUAGCUUUCGUCGACAGUGGCGCGCCAGGUAGGGGGUGUGCGUGCAACUUUUCCGGCGAACAAGAUGGUCACGAUCCCAGCUUCCGCGACCGUGCCCGAAGGCCUCACGUUCACCGUCGGCCAGAUCACGUGGACGACGUGCAGCGGCGGUUUCGCGACCACGGUUCCGAAAGAGAUCCAGAUCCAAUCUGAGAUCACGCCGUCUCCGACCACACGCAUGACGGCACCAAGCUCCCGACCACCGUUCCCGCUCUACAAGGGAAAGGAGAUCGACUGCUCAGACCUCCUCCAAGCGCUCGAUCGCGCUGACUCCAAGCUAUUCGAAGUCUCCCAACUAAUAGAUGGAGUUCUGCGCCGGCCCGACCAAGCUGCUCGAGCGGUUUUCGAAAUUCCGCCGGCCAACUCGUGUCGCCACACACGAACGGCUGGGAACGUCCCUGACGAUAACCUCAACCCCCUCAGGACGAUCCGUCGAGCUCAAAAAGGAAGACUAUCCCUGCGGCCUGAACAACUCGGCCUCUGUUUACUCACAGCAUGUCCAAUCCGUUUUCAGCAAAGCGGGCUGGUCGCCGACAAGGAACAAUCGUCACCAUGUCAACAUGGUGACCAUCCGAGAGCUACGGGACGGCCAGGUUUCCAGCACCAACUCAAGCACCGGCUCCGUCCCCACCGAGGUUGUGAACACCGAAGACGAGGACUACGACCUGGAUUUUCCUUCACACCCUCCGGGUUUCGACCGAUUCCCGAUAUUCCCCCCCCCCCCGGCGAGGGGAUAUUGUAUUCAAUGUCAGCGCCGACGAACUGGCUGUUGACGGAGAAACAGACGACCAGAGGCAACUCCGCGAACAGCGUAACGCCGAGCGCGCCCGACGGCGUGCGGACGAGCAACAACAGACGCCACCAGGUAACCUCAACGAUGCCUUUGACAUGGUUGGGGACCAGCCGGUCUACAAAACGCCAAGCGCCAACGUGGCUGUCGCCAUGGCCAACCUGGAUCGGCUUCCUGACACCCCCGAAUGCCAGGGAGUCCGGACCAGUAUCCGAGCACACCUGAUCGCCGCAAUGGGACAGACAGCCACUCUGCUCAAGAGAGUCCAGGACGUCUCUUAUAUGGAAGCCGCCUCCGACCAGACUCAUCGUAGCCGGGCCUCACCCAGCAGGCGUCGCCGCAGCCGCUCCCCCGACAACCGUCGAGGGGACUCACGGCGCGAUGAUGGUGGUCGGGACGCCGAUGGCCGCCGCCAGCAGGACCGCGUAUGCGGCCAAGAAGAAGAAGAUCAACACAGGGAUCUCCACCACAACAUCCCUCCCAAAGAUGCCCGGGACCGCAUCAACAGACGCGCCGUAGAGAGAGCAGUCCACGAAAACCUGCGCCACAUCGAGUACGACGCGACCCACGGUCCUCCGGGCCUAAGGCAGUUCUCCUCACACCUCCGCCAGGUCGUGUGGCCCCGCAAUUUCAAGCUCGAAAAACUUAAAAAAUACGACGGCAAGGAAAAUCCAGAGAACUGGAUCACUCUCUAUGAAAUCGCCGUCCGAUCAGCGGCAGGAGAUGAGCACGUCAUGGCUAAUUACUUCCCCGUAGUCCUCGACCAGGCUGGUCAUCAGUGGCUUCUCGGCUUGCCCGAGGACUCCUUCGACUCUUGGGAAGAGCUACGACAGGCUUUCAUCGACAACUUCAUCGCCACAUGCGAGCAGCCCGGAAACAAGUAUGACCUUGAAAGGAUAAGAGACAGGAAGAAUGAACCUCUGCGCGAUUACAUCCGACGAUUCUCGGAUAUGCGCCUCAAAAUCCCGAAGAUUUCUCAUGACGAGGCCAUAUCAGCCUUUAUCAAGGGCUUGCGUUUCCAUGAAGCGCUGAGGAACAAGCUGUUGCGUAAGCGCCCAUCAACGGUAGCAGAGCUCCUCGCCACGGCUAAAAAUUACGCCGAUGCUGAUGACGCAGAAAAACUAAUCCGAGACGAUGCGAGAGACCCCGACCAGCCCUCCCGGCGAGAUGACGGUCGUGGUCGCUACGACAACAGAAAUCACCGCCGCUCCGACAACCGCGAUCACCGAGAGGGUUGGGAUCGGCGGCGCGACAGCCGCGACGACUUCAGAGGAAAGCGCCCUCGCGAAUACGACCACGAAGUAAACACGGUCAAACGUCCCAAUGGACGACGGGACUACCAAGACGACUACAACAAAACGUUGAAGGGACCGUGCCAGCUACACCCAAAGUCUAACCAUACCAUGGAAGAGUGCCGCGUCCUUAAAAGUAUCUAUACACGGCGGGCCGCCCAAGAAGACACCGCCAAGAAAAGUAGCAAACGCGACGGGCACGACCACGAAGAUGAGGAUGAGGACCAAGACAGGGACCCCCGACACCAAUACGUCAGCCCCACCGACGUGGUUCACUCCAUUUUCGGGGGCAAGGUCUCCACUGAGUCCAAGCGAGAAAGAAAGCUGUUAAAGAGAGCCUGCCUCAACAUAGACAGCACGGACGGGCUGAUCGCAGAUCCGAAAUUUCCCGCCUGGUCCCACAGGGAGAUCGCGUUCAGCAGGAAGGACCAGUGGGCCGCUAUCCCAGAGCCGGGUCGUUUCCCACUGAUUCUUGAUCCCUGCAUCAAUAGCAUCAGAUUCGAGCGCGUGCUCGUGGACGGGGGAAGCUCCAUCGACAUCCUCUUCCGCAACAGCCUGCCCGCCCUCAAGAUAUCACUGGCGCAACUAAAACCUUACGACGCCCAAUUCUGGGGGGUUUUGCCAGGUCAAAGUUCGGUGCCCCUCGGACAGAUAACAUUGCCUGUCCAAUUCGGCACACCCGAUCACUUCCGGACGGAGUUCAUCAACUUCGUAGUCGCGGACUUCGACGGGACCUACCACGCCAUACUGGGCCGCCCAUCGCUGACAAAGUUCAUGGCAGUCCCGCACUACUCAUACCUAGUGCUUAAGAUGCCCACGGAGAAGGGUGUCCUGACCGUCAGAGGCAACGUCUACACUGCGUACACCUGCGAAGAAGAAAGUUUCAAGAUCACCGAGGCAAUUGACCUCUCAAUCCGCAUGGCGGAAACAGCAAACCAAGCCGCACAGCUGCCCCCCGACCAGCUCCGAUUACCUGAGCAGGAGACAGCCAGAAAGAAUUCGAAAUCCAAGGAGUACAAAGAAGUGCAGCUGGUCGAAGGCAACCCCGAGAAGACAGCCCUCAUCGGGGCUAACCUGGAUCCAAAAUAGGAAGACGCGCUCGUCAGGUUUCUAAGGGACAACGUGAGCGUUUUCGCAUGGAAACCCGCAGACAUGCCCGGUGUCCCACGAAACCUGAUCGAGCACUCCUUAAACGUCUCGAAGACUGCAAGACCAAUCAAGCAAAAACUGCGACGGUUCGCUCGUGACAAAAAGGAGGCUAUUAGGACAGAAAUAACACGGCUUCUAGCAGCCGGAUUCAUAAAAGAGGUGUAUCAUCCCGAUUGGCUCGCCAAUCCGGUUCUUGUACGCAAAAAGAAUAAUGAAUGGAGAAUGUGCGUUGAUUACACCGAUCUCAACAAACACUGUCCUAAAGAUCCUUUUGGUCUUCCUCGCAUCGACGAGGUGGUCGACUCAACGGCCGGAUGCGAACUCCUCUCCUUUCUAGAUUGCUACUCUGGUUAUCACCAGAUCUCGUUAAAGGAAGAAGAUCAGAUCAAAACAUCCUUCAUCACACCCUUCGGCGCAUACUGUUACACUACCAUGUCUUUCGGACUUAAAAACGCCGGGGCCACUUAUCAAAGGGCCAUUCAGCAAUGCCUCCACGACGAGAUUCGCGAUGACCUCGUCGAGGCCUAUGUGGACGACGUGGUCGUCAAAACAAGGGAUGCGAGCACCCUAAUCGACAACUUAGACCGAACCUUCAAGGCACUCAAUAGGUACAAGUGGAAGCUCAACCCCAAGAAAUGCAUUUUCGGCGUUCCUUCCGGUCUACUGCUCGGCAACGUCGUCAGUUGUGACGGCAUACGACCAAACCCUUCAAAAGUCAAAGCCGUACUCGACAUGCGACCACCGAAGAACGUCAAGGAUAUUCAGAAGCUAACCGGAUGCAUGGCCGCCCUCAGUCGUUUCAUCUCAAGGCUGGGAGAAAAAGGCCUCCCUUUCUUCAAACUAUUGAAAGCGUCAGAAAAAUUCUCCUGGACCGAAGAAGCCGACGCUGCGUUCACUCAGCUUAAGACCUUCCUCACUUCACCGCCUGUCCUCACAGCGCCUCAGCCCAAUGAAGACCUGCUCCUUUACAUUGCUGCAACCGACAGGGUUGUUUCCACGGCAAUAGUGGUCGAGCGAGAUGAACCAGGUCACGUCUUCAAGGUCCAGAGACCCGUUUACUUCAUAAGCGAAGUUUUAAACGAAUCCAAGGCCAGGUACCCACAAAUACAGAAGCUUAUAUACGCCAUCCUGAUAACGUCAAGAAAACUGAAGCACUACUUCGACAGCCAUCGAGUCCUGGUGACAACCAGCUUUCCUCUCGGUGACAUCCUGCGCAAUAAAGACGCCAAUGGCAGAAUCGUGAAAUGGGCAAUGGAAUUAUGUCCAUUUUCCCUGGAGUUCCAGAGUCGCACCACUGUCAAGUCCCAAGCCUUGGUCGAUUUCAUUGCCGAAUGGACGGAUCUCAACGAGCCUUCCGUUCCCGAUGUCUCAGACCACUGGUCAAUGUUCUUUGAUGGGUCCUUGAACAUCAACGGUGCAGGCGCUGGGAUAUUGUUCGUAUCACCCAACAAGGACAAACUCCGCUACGUCCUUAGGAUCCUUUUCCCGGCGUCAAACAACGUCGCCGAAUACGAAGCAUGCUUACACGGCAUACGACUAGCCGUUGAACGGGGGGUCAAGCGCCUCUAUGUCUACGGCGACUCCGCUUUGGUCAUCAACCAGCUCAACAAGGAGUGGGACGCAACCCACGAGAAGAUGGAUCUCUACUGCAAAGAAAUUCGCAAAUGGGAAACUAACUUCUAUGGCAUAGAGUACAUCCACGUGGUCCGGGAUAAGAACCAAGCAGCAGAUGCGUUGUCAAAGUUAGGCUCAUCUCGGGCCCAGAUCCCGCGGGGUAUUUUUGUCCAGGACAUCCAUGAGCCAAGCGUAAGCCCUCCCCUGGUCGACAAGCAACCCACCGAGGCAAUGCUCAUAGAUGACGCCACUCCGACAACCGGUGGGCGUGACUGGCGUACCCCGUUCAUCAAAUACAUAUCAGACGGGACAGGCUAUCAGGACAAAACAGAGAACGAGCGCCUCAUCCGACGAUCAAAGAACUACAUCCUGGUCGACGGAAAACUCAUGCGGAAAAACGCAAGCUCCGAAGUACUGCUCAAGUGCAUACCCCAAGAUGAUGGUAUCAAGCUCUUGGAAGACAUACACGCUGGAUCCUGCGGCAAUCACGCCGCAUCUAGAACGCUGGUCGGAAAGGCUUUCCGAGCAGGUUUUUAUUGGCCAACCGCGGUCGGCGACGCAGAAAAACUGGUUCGGCAUUGCGAAGGAUGUCAGUUUUUCGCUAAGAGGACCCACGUACCUGCCCAUGAAAUUCAAACUAUCCCGUCGUCUUGGCCCUUUGCUUGCUGGGGGCUUGACAUGAUCGGACCAUUUAAACCAGCCCCGGGCAAUUUCAAGUUUGUCUUCGUGCUAAUCGACAAGUUCUCCAAGUGGAUUGAAUACAUGCCCCUGGUCAAGGCAACCUCCGAGAAGGCUGUGGAGUUUCUCAAUCAAAUCAUACACAGAUUCGGCAUCCCGAACAGCAUAAUCACCGACCUGGGCACUCAGUUUACUGGCACCACUUUUUGGGAUUUCUGCGAUGACAGAGGCAUAGUCAUAAAAUAUGUGUCAGUAGCACAUCCACGUGCCAACGGUCAAGUCGAACGUGCUAAUGGAAUGAUCGUUGACGCCCUAAAGAAGAGGCUGUACACCGAAAACGACAGAGCACCCGGUCGAUGGAUGAGAGAAUUGCCGGCAGUAGUCUGGGGCCUCCGAACCCAGACCAGUCGAAACACAGGGGUGUCUCCCUACUUCAUGGUAUACGGUGCAGAGGCGGUCCUGCCGUCCGACAUACACUUCGGAUCUCCUAGAAUCGAGCACUACGACGAGGCGACUGCCGACAACGCCAGAGAACUCGAAAUCAAUUGCAUGGAGGAAAAGCGUUUAGUUUCAUGUCUCCGAACAGCAAAAUAUCUCGCGGCAGUCAGGCGAUACUACAACAGGAACGUCAAGGACCGUUCCUUCGUGGUCGGCGAUCUGGUGCUUCGAUGGAAAACAAGCCAGGAGGGAAUGCACAAGUUAUCCACUCCCUGGGAAGGACCCUUCGUGGUGACCGAGGUCACACGACCUACGUCCUACAGAUUGGCAUACCCAGACGGAACACGAGUGCCUAACUCUUGGCACAUCGACAAACUGCGACAUUUCUAUCCAUAAAGUUUUAAUGACUUUCUUUUGUAAGUAUCUUAUAAUUUUUGAUAAUGAAAUUCUCUAUUUUUCGCCUAUACCUUGUCACACACAGCACUCGGCAAAACUCCUGCAAUGGAUGCUCUUGGCGACAACCAAGACAAAUACGGUGACACGUCACUCAGAUAUUUUUACAGCGCUCAAAACAACAGUCAUGACAAAAAAGAAAACUUUAUUACAAACUUUACAUACAAAGUUUACAAUAAAUACCCUGACGGGCAGAUACUAGUCUAUUCCUACAGACUACUUUAUUGGCCUAGCUGCUCGGGCUGAUCACCCGCCUGGCCCUGCUGCCCGGACGAAGGGGUCGGGGCCACCGGCGCCUGGCUGGUCGAGACCGCAGGCGUCGACCGCCCAUCUCCAGCAACGGACGCGCCCGACAACUCCCUGGCCGACCUAUCUGAGCUCGGCUGGUCUGGAGGAGUGGCCGUUCCGCACAGGUUGAUGUCGCCGAUCACUGUCGACGACAAGUCCAGCAGACUACCCCGAAGUUCGUCCGCUUCCUGUGGGCCGACUUCCUUCGGGUACCCCUUCUCCAGCCUGCUCAAGUCGACCAGGGGGUAGUGGGCGCGUACCAUGCUGAGGACGUGCGCGCCGGCAAACUCCCCGGCGUCCUUCACAAACUGCUGGAGCCAGUCCCACGCCCGUUGCGCCUUCUCGACCGGGGUCAACUGCGGCGCGCGGGGCUGGCUCUCCGGGAGCUCGGGACUAAUCAGGUCCAGGACCGGGGACACUCCCUUCCAGAUCCUGCAACAGUUGACCUUCCAGGAGUCCCGGUCCUUGAUCAGGUCAUCCAGGUGCUUUUUGGUGUUCACCUUGAGCACUGCAAACGAAACGAAACGUUACUUUCGGCAUAUCAGACAAGCAAAGGGGCAGGCAGCAACCAACAAGGCGGCACCCAUUACCAGCUAACUCCCGGUCUUUUCGACCCAAUUCCUCUUCCGCUCGCCGCCCGGACUCCUGUGCACUGGCGAGCUGUUGGCCGAGCUGCUCCUCUUGUUGGAGGCUCGCCACCUCCUCCUCCAAGUCUGCGUGAAUCCUAAACUGGUCAGCAAAGCAAACUAUACAAGUACGCGAAACUGCUCGGAGCGUGUGACUAACCUUCCUGCAGCCGGUACUGGUCGGCCAGACGACGAGCGAGGUCGAGACGACGCUCCUUUUCGGCGCUCAUCUCGACCACCUUCUCCCCGACCUCCGCCCGCAACCGGUCUACCUCCGCGGCAAGGGCCUUGUUCUCGGCCAUGACGCCUUCUAUCUGGUCAAAGCACCGUUUCCGGUACUUCGCCGUUUUCAUUACGUCCUACAAAGCAAGCAUACAACGAUCAAGCAAGACAAGGCAAAAGAAUGCGCAGCAGUACAAAAAGCCGCUUACCUUGACUUCGUCGACAAGGCGCUUGGCUGCGCGCUCCACCCUGGCGGCCUCUUCGGUCUCGGUGACCUCCUCAUGACCGAUAAAGUGAUCCCCGCGUUGGCGCCACACAUACACGUGUUGGCGGCCAUCACGGGGACGACCCUCGAUCUCCUCCACCUCAUCGUCGGAGGCCGCCCGGGUUUCUUCCUCCUGUGCUGCGUCACCCCCGGUGGUGGUCCCAGGCAUUACUGGCCCUUGGACCAGACCUGGGGAGCCCGCAGCCGAAGAGGCUCCUGCUCGGGGCGGCGGGGGGACUUCACUCCCCCCGGCAGGAGGAGCGGUCGGAGAUCUCCCCUUCUCCGAGGAGUCAGUUGGGGGAGCCUCUCCAGCCCUGGUCGGGCUGCUUGUUGUCGGCGCCGCGCUCGGGAGCCCCUCGGUGCUCCCAGGCGCGACUGCAGCUGUUGGCUGCUCUGUGGUCUGGGGGGCUGCAUCCCCAGAACCGCGGGCAGGCUCGCCCGUUCCCUGGCCGGCAGUUUGGCCAGGGUCGACAUCCGAUGCCGCACUACAGGAACUAAAGUUAAAAAAAAGGGAGGAGUCCAAAAUACGUAAGUCGAACACUUACAGGUCUGACCGACGAUGGGUCGCGGUGAACCUCCUCCUCGCCCGGCCGGUCGGCACCUGUGCCCCCACCUCAGCAACUUGCGGGGCAGCGGCGCCGCUGGCCACUCGAUCAGUGGCGACCGGCGCAGUGUCUGGGCGGCUCCGAGGCCGCCGGACCAACGACGGCGCAGCCUCUUCGUCGUCGUCGUCGUCGUCGACGAUCCGCACGAGCCGACGACGUUUCGGCGCUUGGCUGCUCUCCACCGGUAGGUCUGCCGGCAGCUCCGGUGUCGGCAAGGGAUCCGCCGGCAAUGGCCUUUUCCCCGCUACCCUCUCCUCGGAGGUCGGGACGGGGCGGGCUCGGUCUUCCUCACUGCUGGUGUAAUGAGUACACCGAGCAGCAUCCUCCUCUGGCGGGACCUCUCCCACAGGAUCUUCCAUCCCCGGUGCCAGUGAUACAUACACCACGCACCGGUCGACAUCACCGACCUGCAAAAGCAACAGAGAUGAGCCAACUGCAGACGAUAUACGAAUGAUCAAACGGAGUCUGCUACAUACCUUUGGUGCUGGUCGUCCUAACUUGAAGGCUUGCACCCGAUCACUGCUACGGGUGAAGCCCCCAUCCGCGAAGUUAAACAGCUCGUUCAGCAGCUGUUGUACCUCCGCUUUCUCCAAGAUCUCCGACCGCAUCCUGGUCGGGUCUGCGCUUCCGGCAUACUCGUACGCCGAGUGCACCCUCUUCUGGCAGGGCAUCACCCGGCGGCAAAUGAAGUUGCCGACCACGCCAAGCCCAUCCAGGCGCGACCAGUCGAUCAGCUUCAUCAGAUCCGCCACUUGACCGUCGAACUCUGGGCGGUCGGUCCAGCUCGUCCUCUUCUCGGGAACGUACCCCACGUCGCAGAACGUGGAGCUGCCCGGUUCCUCCCUGACGUAGAACCACUUCCUGUACCAUUCGGUCAAGGAGGUGUUCCAUGGGCAGUGCAGGUAGCGAUUCUUCAUCCCAUCACGAAGGUUGAGGUAUACUCCACCUGCAACCUUGGAGCCUCCAACUGCUCCCUUCUUCCUCAGACAGAAAAGGUACCGGAAAAGAUCAAAGUGCGGCUCUAUGCCAACAUAGGCCUCGCACAGAUGGAUGAAGGUGGAAAUAAGGAGAAUUGAGUUCGGGUGCAGAUUGCAAAUCCCGAUCUCAUAGUACAAAAGAAGACCUUGAAGAAAAGGAUGAACAGGAACACCAAAGCCUCUCUUGAUGAAAUCCUCAAAAACGACGAUCUCACCGGCGCGAGGGUCGGGGUAGCUCUCCCCCUCCGGCGCCCUCCAGCCGCCGAGCUCUGCGCCGUGCAGAAGCCCCAUGUCGACGAGGUCACCAAGAGAUUUUGUGGUGCUGCGAGACUUCUUCCACUCCUUGGCCAUCAGUUCGGCCCUCUUCCUGGAGUCGCUCUUCGCCAUUAGAGGUGCGAAUGUGGGCUGGAGUUAGGAAGAUGCAGGAGAUUGGAGAAGAUGAGAGCGGAAGGUUUGAAGGCAAUGGCAGGAGAAGCGGUACAGGCGGUCCUAUUAGGCCCUUAUAAACCCGCGACCCCACCUCUCCCACUUCCUGUAUUCUCGGGAAGUGGGCAGGCCAUGCGGCGGACGCGGCGUUUCGGUUUACAAUGAUUAUAGACAAUUAAUGCGGCGGAGUUUUCGUACCAAUUGAUGGUUUCCUUUUCUCAAACCAUGCAAAGAGCGGUUGUACAGUUGCCAGGUGCAGCUUUUCAUGCAUCCGUCUGACAUAUCGUCAGGAGACCCCGUCACGUCAACUUUAAUUGGAAAGAUCUUUUCAAAAGUAAGAAGACACAUACGCCAGUGAGUCAGCAAUUCGGGGACUGCACCGACCACCGAGCACUCGACGCUCGGGGACUGGUCGCCCAGUCUAUCAGCUCGGAACUUCAAGGACUGCACCGACCACCGAGCACUCGACGCUCGGGGACUGGCUGCCUAGUCUACCAGUUCGGAACUUCAAGGACUGCACCGACCACCGAGCACUCGACGCUCGGGGACUGGUUGCCCAGUCUAUCAACUCAGAACUUCAAGGACUGCACCGACCACCGAGUACUCGACGCUCGGGGACUGGUCGCUCAGUCUAUCAGCUCAAAGCUUUAAAGCAUGCACCGACCACUGAGCACUCGAUGCUCGGGGACUGGUCGUACAGUAUAGUAACAUGUAAUUCCAAGCAGCACACUAAGUGCCUGGGGACUGGUCGAUUGGUCUUUUCGAUUGCAGACGAGCAUGACAUGCUCGGGGACUGGUAAAUUCAAUUUUUUAGACCUUGCUACAAGGCUCAUACUUCGCCUUCCAGCAAGCUCGGGGACUACAUCGGCACGAUGCAUCUAGCGAUGCAUCUCAGUCUCAAAACUACUUUGGGGAAUUUUCUUUUGACCCUGGCACCACGUGCCUACGCCACCUACUACCAGGCUCGGGGACUAAGUGGGCACACUUCACCUAGCGGUGAAUUUGCUUGCUUUUUUGAUGCUUCUACCUUUCAGAAAGGCAAAGUGGGCACACUUCACCAGGAAAGAAAUUUUUUUUAGAGCACCAUGCAUUCUUCGAACAACCUGCUUCUUCGAUGUCAACGUUGAUCAACUGUCUUUCGAGUUGGUCAAGGAACCGUUGCAACUGUUUGGGCGAUUUCCCCGCUUAUUGAAGACGACAAGCCUCGCUGAUCGAAGAAGCUCAAGACGGCGUGUUGCAUCACAAUACAUGGCGCUCGGGGACUAGCUGUGGGGGUAUAAACCCCUAUACCCUUACGGCUAGACUUCAGCCAGGAAGCUUGGCCCACUACGAGACGAGUUCAAGGCUUGAUCCGACAGCCCGAGUUUCGCGCAAGGAAACAAGACGUGGAGAUCAAGCAGGAUUCUAGUCGGUUAGAAUAGGAAUUGAUAUCGAAUUAUCUAUGGCAAUUGUAACCGACUAGGAUUAGUUUCUAGAUCUGUAACCCUGCCCUCCAGACUAUAUAAGGAGGGGCAAGGGACCCCCCUAGGACAUCAUAUAUUCUCUCAGCACAAAUCAAUACAACCUGACGCAGGACGUAGGUAUUACGCCAACUCGGCGGCCGAACCUGGAUAAAAAGCUUGUCCGUGUCUUGCGUCACCAUCGAGUUCGUAGUUUGCGCACCGUCUACCGAUAAACUACUACCGUGGGUAUACCCCAAGGUAGACUGCCGACUAGCUUUCGUCGACAUUUACCUUUCUGCAAGUUUACUUACUUAGCAUUUUCUCCCCCUUUUCUUUUUUGUUCUUUCAAUCUUCAAACUCCAGGAUUUGAGUGAGAAAAUUGUUAUACCUACUGACCAACCCCACCUCCAAUGUCUCGGUCCAAUGGGUGAUCCAGAUCCCACCGAUCUGAUCAAUGUAGAAACCAAUAGGAUCCCUUUUAGAGCCGAGAACUUCUCUUUAGAUCUAUGAAAAGAUACUUUCCGAUCCUGGCCAAAUGCCACCAAAGGAUGGAAAGAUUGGUUCCUGAGGGUCAGCAAAACUAAUGAAGUAUACUGGGGUGAACGCAAAAUAGACCAACGUAUUAGGCUUUCCAUUGCCGAUAUGGAAAGAAAUGAAUCAAUGUUGAUAGCUGCCUCAUACUUUUGGUCGGAUACUUUUAAUGCCUUCAUUUUUUGCCACGGCCCAGCUUCCCCCACGCUUGCCGAUGUGGCUAUGCUUACUAGUGUGGACAUUGCAACUGCCGAUGAUGGCCACUUAUUCGGCUGCAAAGCCAAACAUAAAGUAGAAACCCGCAACAUCGGCGGCUGAUCAGGAUAUAUCCAGAAAUAUCAGCGAACGGGAUCGGUUGAUCAAAGAGAGCAUGCCAUCUUUCUGAAUAUGUGGUUAGACAAAUUCAUCUUAUGCGGCCGAUCGGUAGGGCUAACCUCUGUUUACUUAUCGGCAGCAGAAAGAUUAGCUGAUGGCAACCGACUCCCCCUUGGCCGAUAUCUGCUAGGUUAUGUCUAUCAUCUCCUCCACCAAGUAGCCGAGAAACUCCUGCUAGGUGAACCCAUCGGCAACCUAGGGUGUCCUUGGUGGUUUAUUAACAUGUGGCUCAACGUCCAUAUGCACAAACGCCUUCGGUUUGAUUUCUUCGCACAGCAGUUCCCACGAGACAUUGCUGAGGAUCAUGAACUGGCAGAUGAUGAAUCGACAACACGCUCGCCUCUCAAUUAUGGUGAAGCCGUCAUAGUCCUUCCUGGUACUGGGUCCAACGAGAACCAGAUCGGUCGAUUUUUUCAAACAUUGUAUGACGGCCUUUCCAAAUAUCAACGAGCCUGGAUGUCUUAUGAAGAUCCAGAAUCUAGAUUUCCACUCACUUUCCACCCUGCCGAUGAUGCUCUUAACAAGGACAAUGAUAUGAUGAUUGCAAUUAUCACCCCAAGAGCAAUUCCAGUGAACAAUUUUGGCAGCAGAAAGAACAUCAACACCACCUAUGAGUUUUACAACCCAUCGGCACUAGCUCGCCAGCUGGCUUUUGGUCAGCUACCGAUUAGACUUUGUUACGCCGAUGUGGUAAAACCGAGGGAGAUAAUAACCAGCGGACUUGAGUGGAUCAGAAUAGCUCAGCUCCAGCCAGAUGCCGAUACGACGGACAUUGAUCUAUCGGCUUAGGUUCCAGCUCUCUUUAUCAUGCAGUCAUACAAACGGUGGUGGAAAGAAUGGAAGGAGCAUCUAUUCAGGGUAUCGGCCCACAUGUACUGCAACAUGAUCGAUCCCGAGUAUGAAGUUCCCAAUGACGUUGUAAGUUCCCUGCCGAUAUUUCAGUCCUUUUAUUAACUCUAACUUUAUCAGUAACUUACCUUUUUUCACCUCAACAGGUUGAUGACUCAGCACCGACAGUGAGCAGAAGCGGGAGGCCGAUUGAUCUUCUUCCAUCAGGCCUAAUCUCCCUAAUCGGCCACAACGCGCCAAGCCUAGCAGCCUUGAUGCACCGAAACAUCCGCUUCAAGAAGACGACUACCAAGUAGUCGAAAGUUUCUCCAUUGGUAGCCGCUGGUACGCUGGCUCAAGCUUUUAAGGUAAAAUUUUCAACUUUCCUUUCUACUAUGCCGAUCUCAUCUCAUAGUUACUACUAUUUUAGGGUACAUCGGCUGCAACUGGAACGUCAUCGGUAACUAUGUCUUGUUCCAAACAUUCUGCUCUUUCAAAUUUCAAUAAUAUCUUUCUGCUUUUAUAUUUAACCCGCAGAACUUUAAUUUUUGUGGCAAUAGUCUGGUGCAUCGGCAAAGACCAAAAGUACUCGAUCAUCGGGUGCCGAUUCCCCCAGUCUGGCCAAGCUCCAUCCAAAAGAAAGGCCCCCAAGAGUACCAAGACUCAACUAAAGCGACAGAAGACAGUACCAUCCUCUCCGCCUCGUCCAGCAUCCCCGAUUCAAGCAACACCUUCUUCUCCACCUCAUCCAGUGCCCCAGACGCAAGAAGUACCUUCUCCUCCUCAAUCAGCACCCCAGGCGCAAGCCGGCCCAGCUGACGUGUCUGGACCGAUCACCGACCCAAUCGAUCUGGACACAUCAUCGGCUGUUCGUCCUAAGCAACCAUAUAGGAUUUAGAUGCCGUUAUGGAUAAAGUUUGGGUCAAAUAUUGGAAAUAUAGAUCAUCAAUAACUUUUAAAUAUUGAAUUUGCAAAUACAAAAAUUAUAUGAAUAAUUUUGUCUUGAAAAAUACUUUUAUAAAAGUAUACAUAUAUUAUUUUUUCCUAAAUAUUUUUAUAAAAAUAAAAGGUCAAAGUUAUGUUUUAAAGAUUGUGUCGUUGUCCUAAAUAACAUAUAAAUCCUAUACAGAGGGAGUAUUUAUAGUAGUACAACUAACCACAAUUAAUUUAAGUACAAUUAACCACAAUUAAUUUUGUAUUCUACACGAUGCAUUUAUGGUAUUGUAACAGAUAGCUGGAAUCUGGACAUGGAUUCCAUUGCCCUCUGCGGGUGUUUACGCCUUGCUUGAAGACUACGGCCUUGUUUAGUUCAUCCAAAAACUAAAAAACUUUUAAGAUUUCUCGUUACAUCGAAUCUUGCAAUAUAUGUAUGAAGCAUUAAAUAUAGACCAAAACAAAAACUAAUUGCAAAAUUUGCCUGUAAAUCGCGAGAUGAAUCUUUUGAUCCUAGUUAGUCCAUGAUUGGACAAUAAUUGUCAAAUAAAAAUAAAAAUAUUACCGCACCUAAAACCAAAAAAAUUUGACAACUAAAUAAGGCCUACAUCUCCUACUGGAUCCACCGCUUCGUUCACACAACGUGGGGCUUUACCGCAGCUUAUUCACUGGGCUGAGCAGAGGCAUAUCAUUACUUUUCCAAUAUAAUUUUCCAGUAUAUAUACUAGGAAAUAAUUCACUGGUUUUUAAAUUGUUACAAAAAGAUAUGCAAGGAUAAGCAGCUCAGCACGGGCCUGCCUGUUAUUUCAGUUUCAUGCCUCUCAGUCUUUUUUUUUUCCUUUUAAUGUACUGCGCAGCGGAGGAAGUUGUUGGCUGGUGAAGACAAUAUGGAGAAAAGCAGCGACUAGGAGAAACAGGAAUAGUUCAGAUAAGCCUCCAAACGUGCCAAUCUGAAUACCUUUGCCAUUGCGUGUUUUGUUGUUAAAUGAAUUGAAAAUAAAUAAUACCUUAAGUUAAUUAAUGGUCUGUUUUGUUCAGUUGUCAGUUGUAAAAAAUCUGUUGUAAGCAAGCUAUGAAAAAAACUAUUGUAAGCUAUAUGCUGUAAAAAAAGGUUGUAAGAUGUUUGGUUUUAACUAUAAAACCUACACUCUCUCUUUCAUCUCCCUUAAAAAACAGCUGUAAAACAUCCGCUUCAUUUUUACCCAUUUGGAAAAGCUGAAAGCUAAAAGUAGUGUCCAAGAUGCUAACCCAAAUAUAGCCCCAAGUCAAAACUCUACGUUCCAAUUGCAACUACAAGAAGCAGGAUCGGAAACACGUUGUUCUCUUGUCUAAAACAAGUGAACCUUGACUGGAGGUAGCUUUGGCUACAACAGGCAGGGCGUACCUAAGAUUUGGAGGCCCCUAAACGAAAUACAUUUUGGGGCCUAAAAUUUCAAAAACAAAACAUUAUAAUCAAAGCAUAUUUUCACUAUAACGCAAAGGAGCCAAGCAGGCCAGUGGAAAUGGUCACUGGGCCUUAUGUUGGUGAAUUGGUCCAAUAAACAAAACAGCAAUUGCAGGCCUGUUUGGAUGUGCCACAUUUUAUUUUCUAUUUAAAGGAUUAUUAGCUAUUGUUAAUGACUUAGUCUAAAUUGGGGGACCCUUAAAUUUUGGGGGGGCUCAACAGUUGCCCACCCUAAUCCUAUCAAUCUGCAGGUCUGACCACAGGUAUCCUGCUCGAAUAGCAUUGCACCUGCGUAUUAUAAAUUGUAAUCGAACAAAAGUGGCCUUUCUAACACGUAUAUCACCAUGUUAACCAAAUGAGAACGUGUUGAAAAUUUUCAUAAUUUUAUAAUUGAGAGGUUGGAAAUUUCCAAUCUGAAGAUGCUACGUGUUGAAGAUUUUCAUAAUUUAGUUUAUUAUAUACUCCCUUCAAUAAACAUUACUUAUAUUUUGACUUAGCAUGCUCUUCGAUUGACCAUUUUUUUCAAAUUAUAUUCCUCAAAUAUAAGAGAUUUAUCAAAUAUCUUAUAUAUUUUGACACAUGGCACAUAUAAGGCCCCGUUCGGUAGCAUUUUUUGGAGCUACUCGCCACGCAGCUAUGUGGCACCACCAACAAAUGGCUGAGGGAUUUUGCUCUGUGCUGCUCCGGUCGUGAUUUGCAAUCUUUGUAGUCGCGAGAGUCUACAAGAGCCAAAAAAAACUUAUCUUCCACCGUUUCGUUGUCUAGGCACGUGGGGCUCCCCAAAAUCCCUAACUUCAUGCAAGUGAGGCCCAGAGUGGACAGAGAUGCCCUGACGGACGUACAUGAAGAUGUCAGGUUGGAUAGAGGUGAUAGGGGCGGAGCCACCGGUGCGAUGGUGGCCAAGGCACCACUCUGGGUGAGCAGAGGUGUGAGGGACAGGGCAUGGUCGUCGGCCUUAAAGGGACUAUGUAGGAGUCAUCGGACAUAGGAGGUGGGCAGAUGACUCUAAAGAGGUGGCGCGAGUGAACAAGGAAGAGAGAGGAAGAAAAAGGAGAAAUAUGAGAGGAGGAAAACAUUGAAGGAAGAAAAAAAAAGAAAUAAGGAAGGAUAUUAUUAACAUUUCACUUUUUUAUGUACCCAUGGAGUAGUUUUACCAUACCUUCAUCAAAACAACUUCAAUUCCAAUUUUCUCAUGGAGCUAAAGUAAAGCAUAGUUACACCAAACAAAAGGCUAACUAUAACAUAUAUAUGUUUCCAAACUAAAUAAUAUAGAAGUUAUUAAUGUUUCUGAUUUUUAAGACUUGACUAAAUCUUAUCACAAACGACAAGUUCUUAUGCUAGGAUAGUACUACAAAAAAGACUUAUAGAGGCAGCUAUUUGUAGAGUAGGUGUUUGGAUCGCUGUGUGUAUUCUAGAGGUAGCUAUUGAACCGCCUCAACAGGGAACAAAAAAUCAGUCAUCCUAAAAGAUUAAAUUUCUAUAUAGCUAUGUUUUUUAGAUCAUUUUAGGGCUUGUUUAGAUCAAAAAACUUUUUGGAUUUUGACACUGUAGCACUUUCGUUUUUAUUUGACAAACAUUGUCCAAUCAUAGAGUAACUAGGCUUAAAAGAUUCGUCUCGCGAUUUACAGACAAACUGUGUAAUUAGUUUUUAUUUUUAUCUAUAUUUAAUACGUCAUGCAUGUGCCGUAAGAUUCGAUGUGAUGAGAAAUCUUGUAAAGUUUUGGGUUUUUUGGGUGUAUCUAAACAAGGCCUUAUAUAGAAAUUUGUAAACCUGACAAAAGUAAACAGCAAUUUCUAUUUUGGCCUUGUUUAGUUCCGAAAAAUUUCGGAUUUCGCUACUGUAACACUUUCGUUUUUAUUUGACAAAUAUUGUCCAAUCAUGAACUAACUAGGAUCAAAAGAUUCGUCUCGCGAUUUACAGACAAACUGUGUAAUUAGUUUUUAUUUUCGUCUAUAUUUAGUGCUUCAUGCAUGUGCCGCAAGAUUCGAUGUGACAGGGAAUCUUGAAAACUUUUUGGAUUUCGGAGUGAACAAGGCCUUUGAAGACAUCUCACAUAGGCCCAAUAGGGCCCAAUUUUCAAUAAGCCCACUUCUCACCAUAUAACGCAGGAAAAACCUCAAGAACCCUAGGCUUUUCACUAGGCAAAGCAAAAUGCAGGCCGCUUCCCUCCGGCGAGCUCUCCAUCCGCGGCGACCGGGAGCCGCCCAGCUCUUCCCCUUUCCCGUAGGCACCAGGCCCGGGGCCUUCUCCGCGUCCGCCGCGGCAGCGCACUCUCCCAAAGACGCUCGUAAUGCGCCGCCGCCGAUUAUGCCGACGCGGCCGUGGGGGGAGGCGCUCGCGGCCGCGCAGCGCGCCUUCUGCCUGCCGCUCGCGGGGCGCGUCCUCGCUGCCUCGGCGACCGGGAACGCGGCCGUGGCCCCCGUUGCGGUCCACGCCUCGCUCGCCCUGGCCGCCGCCGGCGCGCGCGGCGACACGCGGCGGCAGGUCCUCCAGGUGCUGGGCGGCGGCGGCGGGGGAAAGGGCGCCGCGGCUGACGCGGCCAACGUGGCGUCGCGGGUGGUCAAGCGGGUGCUCAAGGACCGGUCCACGUCCGGCGGGCCACGGCUGGCCUUCGCGGGAGGAAUAUGGGCCGACACCUCGACGAACCUGUCGCCGGGGUUCGUGGAGGCCGCCCGCAGUGUGUACAGCUCCACGGCGAGGACGGCUGACUUCAAUAACAAGGUGUGGCAUAUUGUGUCAUUCCCGCUUUUAUGACUUGCUUAUUAGGUGCUUGAUAAUAUGCUUAUUCCAGGGGUCGCUGUAGCAGAACAUCUUAAUUUGUUGUUUGGAGUUAUUGCAAUUCCUCACUAAGUUUCUUUUAUAGAUGGUAUUUGACUGAACUGAGCCAAGUAGUUUCAAUUGGUCUAAUGUUGUUUUUACUGCUGAUCUCUGCCUAUGCACCCUUUUCUGUUCAUCUCCUUUAUCUGAUAGAAUUGGUAAUUGGAGAGCUUGUGGUGACAAAUAUGCCCACUACCUAUCUUAAUUGCUGUAAAAAAAUAUAUACUAUGGUGUAUAUGUAAAGAAAUUUCACUUGAACUAUUAUAUUUUUUAGCAGCAAACUGCAACCAUGUGAUGUAUAUUGUUGUUUCUAUGGUUUUUCUUUUGAAAUUCUUAACUCUGAAAUUCGCAAGUUUUCUGUUCUAUUGAUUUUUAAAGCCUGAAGAUGCUGCUAAGCAAAUUAACAUGUGGGUCAAAGAAUCCACAAAAGGCACUGCUACCUCGCUUCUUCUGGAUGGAUUAAUUGACCAGAAUACAGGACUUGUUAUUGGCAGUGCACUGUAUUUUAGGGGAAGAUGGCUUGAUCGGGCUGAUAUUAGGAGUACUGCAGUGCAAAAGUUCUGCUGUCUGGAUGGAACUUGUGUUGAGGUCCCUUUUGUAGAAUAUGAUAGAACUCGACCUUUCGCAGUUCAUGAUGGAUUUAAAGUGAUCAAGCUUCCUUAUCAGCAAGGAAAGAAUGAACGGAAGUUCUCCAUGUACAUCUUCCUACCUGAUGCUCAUGAUGGCUUGUUUGAAUUAACGAAGAAAAUUUUUGCGGAACCAUCAUUCUUAGAACAUCAUUUGCCAACUGAGAAGCGACAUGUGGAUAUCAGGGUUCCCAAGUUCACAGUAUCGUUCCAGGUUGAUAUGAAGGAAUUUCUGAAAGAAAUGGGCCUUGAACUACCCUUCCUCCGUGAUGCAGAUUUCACUGAUAUGGUCAAGGAAGAUGAAUCCAGAAGUCCAUUGUAUCUAUCUGACAUACUUCAUAAAGCAAUUUUGGAGGUUAAUGAUAAUGGGAUAAAAGAUACUUCUGUGACAAUGGGCAUAGGCAAGCCCCGACCAGGAGAGCACUUUGUUGCUGACCACCCUUUCUUCUUUGUCAUUAAGGAGGAGGUGUCUGGCUCAGUAAUCUUCAUGGGGCAUAUAUUGGACCCUUCAUCACAAUCUUAACUUCAGUCUCUGUUUUUUUGUCAGCUAUUACAGGUAUAUCUUGUAUAAUCUCUAACUUUGCUAGUCUGGAUCAAUGAGUUUUUAGUACUCAAGUAAUUCAUCUAGUGGUUUGUAGUUGUUUGCUUUGUUUUUAAUAACAUGCGGGCAGAUAGUUACUAAAAUAAAUUUAUAUUAUCUUGUGUGCGAAACCAUGUAAUAACAAUGCAUAUAUGUCUCAUUUAUAUCAAUUUUUCUUUGCAGAAAUCUCUAUGGUCUUGUCCAAUUUAUAAAAGAAAUUUCUUUAAUCAGAAAUGUUUGUUUAUUCUUGUGGAUUCCACCUAUACCUUUUCUAGUUUAUCUAUGUAUGGAUUCAUAAUUUAGUAUCUGGUCCAAUAUAUAUUUGUAUGUAUCUUGUCUCAACAUUUUAUGAAUUCUUGAUCAGUCUUUGGUCAUGCUAUUUUUCAUGGAGUUGUUUCAGUUACAUGUUCAUAUAGAAGAUUGCUUUUUAUUUACUUUUUCCUACCAGGAGCAAGCUGCUAAGCUUAUUUACAUAGAGGUUUUGAUUUCAUAUACGAAGGGGAGCCUUGGCGCAUGGUAAAGCUGCUGCCUUGUGACCAUGAGGUCACGGGUUCAAGUCCUGGAAGCAGCCUCUUGCAGAAAUGCAGGGAAAGGCUGUGUACAAAAGACCCAAGUGGUCGGACCCUUCCCUGGACCCUGCACAAGCAGGGAGAUCCGUGCACUGGGGCUGCCCUUGGGCUGCCCUUUUUUUGAUUUCAUAUACCCAGUCUGCCUCCAUGCUGACUGCCGCCCCCAUCCCUGCCUCUUUCAUGCUGCAGGUUCCUAUCCAGUCUCCUCUGUCCUCAAGUCGCCCACCGCCACUGCCCGCAUGCGCCCGCCACCCUACUCCGUCUGCCACUCCUUCCCCACUGGUCACCUCCCCCAAAUGUCUCUUCCUCCCCCACCACUGUCCAAUGUCCGCGUUGCCCCUACAUAUCCCUGCCUUAGGUGGACCUGCCUGCCUUCGGCUGUUGAUGGGUUGCCUACCCCCUAGGUUAGGGGAUACCCCAACGCCCAACGCAGAGGCAUUCCCAACCCAGCACGGAAGAGUGCCGAUUUGAACACUGGGUAUAUGAAAUAAAAAAGGCACUCUUCCGUGUUGGGUUGGGAGUGCCUCUACGUUGGGCGUUGGGGUAUCCCCUAACCUAGGGUGUAUGCAACCCAUCAGCAGCCGAAGGCGCGCAGAUCCACCUAAGGCAGGGAUAUGUGGGGGCGACGUGGACAUUGGACAGUGGUGGGGGAGGAAGGGACAUUGGGCAGAGGCAAAGUUCCGCUAGGCGGCGACUGGCCGUGAUUAAUCACUGGGUGAGGCCCGUCGCCUCGACUAGGGGUAUAGGCGGAGGCCUAGGGCGCGGCAGCGCAAAUCGUUGACUCCGUGGCGCCUAGGCGCUCGAGGUGGGCGUGUACGCGGACGACGCGGCCUCGCGCGUGGAAAUUUCCGUCGCCACAGAAGCGCGUGCGCUAAUGGCGUCGGGCGCGGGAAAAUUAGGCACGCGCGGGAAGUAUAAGACCUGCUCCCGCUCGCAGACGCCGCUACUGCUCGUCCUCCUCGCCUGCGACGGUGCGCCGGAGGGCACUUCACCUGCCGGCCUAGCUCCUCUGCCUCCUCCCCGCCUGGUCCGGUGAGGUCGCGCUGCUCGUCCCUGCCGGCCGCACUUCUCGUGGCCUAGAACUCCUUCCCGCCGGCCGCCGGUCACCUCUUCCCCGCCUGUAAGCUGCUUGCCUGCACCCCGCCUGCUCCCUGCUCGUUGCUCCCCUGCCCUGCUGCUCUCUGUUCUGAACUUUUGAUUUCUGAAUAUUGAAUACAUGAAGUCAUGUGUGCUAUGAAUCUGCUCUACUCUGUUCUAAACUUCUGAUUCCUUUGUUACUCUGAAACUGAAUGCCUCCCCUGCUCCUCUCCUCUGAUCUGAAUGCCUGAUUUGAAUGCUAUGCAUGUGAAUGUGAAUGCUUGAUCUGAAUUUGCCUGCUGCGAAUGCACAUAAUCUUGCUAUAUAUAGUUGUAUACAUAAUAAAUAUAAAAAUUAUGGCUAUAUUGCCAAAAGGCCUAGGAAAAUGCCUAGGCGCGAUUAAUCCUGAUUAGUCUCUAGGCUAGGGGUCAGCGCCUAGAUACCACCUGGCGCCUAGCGAAACUAUGGGCGGAGGUGACCAGUGGGGGAGGAGUGGCAGGCGGAGUUGGGUGGCGGGCGCAUGCGGGCAGUGGCGGUGGGCGACUAGAGGACAGAGGAGACUGGAGAGGAACCGGCAGCGUGAAAGAGGCAGGGAUGGGGGCGGUAGUCAGCAUGGAUGCAGGGAAUGGGAGCGGUGGGCGGUAGAGAUGCCGACGGGGGCAGCGGGUGGUUUUUCCAGUUGCGAGUCAUAGCUGCACGGGAGUAGUGUGAAUGGGUAAGGUAGGAAUUGAGUUUAGUGAUAGGUUUGCUGUUCAUACUUGGGCUAGGGCUGUUUUCAUUCAUGGGCCUUUCUAUAUAAUGCUUAGCGCACUAGUCUCCUGUUUCUUCUUUUUAUUUUAGAUUUUUAGAGGUAAAUAUGCAUAGGGAUAAAACGCCAACACCUUUUGUAACCUUGCAUAUACCAAUGGAGAUGAAAAUAUGUUCUGUCAAAUUUCAGAAUAAUAUCAUCUCUGUUAAUAUAUUUAACUUUGAUGACAUUUACUUAACAAAUUAACAGGUUAGAUCGUCUUCAAUGGUAGCCUGCAAGGUGUAUUGCUAGCUGGGAACACUGGUGACCUAACAUUCAACUAAAGGAUAAGAAUUUCUUUGGCACCAGCAAAGCGAGGAAAAGGUAUUGCCAUCUCACCACUUGAAAUUAUACCUGUGCCCAGAAACACUAAGAAUGGUAAUGAUUGGUAUGCUCAUUGUGAGCAGAGUGGCCUGACCCUGCUGACCAAAUAAGACAAUAGAGUUAACAAAUAUUACAAAGUCUAAUGGUGUGGAGAUAUCCUUGAACUGAGGAGUGAAGAAAACAGAGGAAUGGUGUGGUGCUCUUUUGUUGAUGGCUUCAUGCCCCUCUUUGUGCGUGGUGUGCUAGGAAAGAUCUGUAAUAUUGCAACUUUGUGCUGACAGUUUAAUGAGGGAUCAUGAUCAACCAUUUUUUGGUGUUGGUGCGCCUUUUAUCUCCUCUCUGUUUUGUGUGGCAUUUUAAUCUAAAUCCUAGAUCGUUGUCUUCUUGCUUCUACAUAAACUCUUUUUCGAUAUCUUAAUUGAAAGGCAGAGCUUCUGCCAUUACUUUCAAAAAAAAAUUGAUGAGGCUUGGUGACCUUAUAGUAGUGAUGAAAACGGAUUGGAUACGGACGGAUAUCAUCGAUAUCAUAUUUGUUUUCAUAUUUCUGAUCGAAUUUGGAUUUGAAUACGGAUAAUAUCAACCAUGUCAGAUAAGAUAUGAUUAAAUGUUAACAUCAUAAAUAUGUUAUUUAAGUAUUCGGAUACGGAUACGGUAUCAGAUGUUAAAUAUUCGGAUUUAGAUAUGGACAGCUCUAAAUCUAUCUAAACGAAUUUGGUCUCGAAUACGGUCGGAAAAUAUCCGUACUGUUUUUAUACCUACCUUAUUAGGGUCUACAAAGGAUGCCUCCCUUUGUUCUGAAAAGUGGCUUGCAUUUUAUCUGACCAGUACAGUUUUAUUAGUUUCCUUUAUUCCCUUCCAUAUUGCAUAUAGCCAGAUCUAGUUAUUGAACACGUUAAGACUAUGCAUUAAUAAAUAGUCCCUCCAUUUCGACUAUGCAUUAAUAAAUAGUCCCUCCAUUUCAAAUUAUAAGAUGUUUUAUCUUUUCUAUAUAUGUAUUUUUUUUUAAUUCUAGAUAUGUAGGUUUUACUAUGUAUUUGGAUAUAUAUUAUGUCUAAAUACAUUGUCAAAGCAAUAUAUCUAGAAAAGCUAAGAUAUCUUAAAAUUUGGAACAGAGCAAGUAAACACAAAUAGUUAAAUACCAUACCACCUAUAUGAAAUAAAAGAUGUGAACGCGUUGAACUUUAGUCAUAGAAAAGAACACGCAUGUACGUAGGAUGGUACAGCUGUUUUGAACAGAGAAAAUGAGCAUCCCCAUCCGUAGCUUUAAAAUUGUGAAAUGAACAAAAUCGAAGUAACAUCUUGAUCGCCCAAUAAUUUUCCUGGUUGUGCACCUUGCACUUGCACGUUUCAUUGUUGACUGUCCACAUUUUGUACAAAAAGGAACCUUUACUCCGGCUGCACAAUCGCUGGGCUUGAUUCCUACGUAUAAUAACGUAGGGCAGCAUGCCGUUGCGCUUGCGCCCACCCCGCCGCAAUCCCCAUGGCCCAGGGGCAUUGUGGCCCAAUUCUUUGCCGACCAGGUGGACGUCCACCCACCCCGCCGCCGGAACCGCAAGACCAAAGCUCUUUCUUGGGUACCUGGAGGUAGCGGCUCGCCGGCGAGGUGAGGUACCACCAAAACGGCAGCCUGUCACACCCAAAUUUAAGGAUAAAUUUGAGUGUGCGCUUCAGGAAUAGUCGCGCACACAAGUCGACAAAUUACAGAAGUAUCAUCACAAGUGUCUUACAUAACGAUUAUUACAACACGAACAUCAAAAUCUGGCAACGAGCGGAAAUAAAACUCAUAUCUAACUGUAACUUAGUAGCUCCAACACAGGGACGACCGACUGGUGGAUCGCCAACAUAGAAAUCCUUCGAGAACCUGGAGGUAGCGCUCGCCGGCGAGGUGAGUACCAGGCGCACACCACCAAAACGGCAGCCAGGAGAGGGUCGUCGACGGCAAAAGAUAUCCGCAAUCUUUCAGGCGCUGGGAGAGCGAAGAAAAAACACGAUUUGGAGCAAUGCAGUCCGUGUAUAUUUCUGCAGCGUCGGGUCAGUAAAUUUCCCCGGCGUGAUCGGAUCGGAUUGUUAAGACUUAAGAGUUGUUGGAAGCUAGUAUCUUUUUUCUUCCUGAUGUUAUAACCUAAAAAAAACAACUUGUAAAAAGGCCAACUUUUUCAAUGUUUUUGUGUUAGGAUUGGGUUUGAGCUACAUACAAAUUCCCUACUAUUUGUAAAAAGGCCAACCCACUGGAGACAUAAAGCAUCCAUUUGUAGUUUUUAGCACCAUCAGGAUAAACAUAGUACUUUCGCUUCCUAUUACCGUCAUGAUCACGACACCUUGGGAGAAGAUUUUUUGUCAGCUCUUAUAAUCUGAAUAUUUCAGAUAGCUAUAUUUUCUUGAAUUCUUAAGGUAGAAGAUGCUGCUGAGCAGAUCCAAUUACGGAGUGACAUGUGAAAAUUUAGAAGAUCCCAUUUUUAGAUCAACAUGAAAGAAUCUAAAUAGAAAAAAGGAAUAUGUGUUGCGAGAAAUUCCUAGGUAUGGUCAAAUAACAGGUUCUAGCCUUUAAUAAUCAAAUAACAGGUAAAUCUUGUAUUGACCACUAACAAUUGUAAUCUGCCUCAUUCAAAUUUUGGUACACAAGUAAUCCGGGUACUGAAAGGUUGACUGUCCAUUGCCUCUCAAAUACACAGCUAGACAAAAUUAAGUCAAUCAACAACUUCUGCUUCUCCUUUUUUAUUUAAAUAAAUAUAUACAUCUGUUCGAUGACACUUCACAAAUCUUAUGUUCGGGUGAUGCUUGAAAGCGUUAUCUUCAGGCCGUGUUUAGUUCCUAAUGAGAAAAAUUUCGCGACACUGUAGCACUUUCGUUUGUUUGUAGUAAUUAUUGUCUAAUCCUGGACUAACUAGGCUCAAAAGAUUCGUCUCGUAAAUUCCGACCAAACUGUGUAAUUAGUUUUUAUUUUCGUCUAUAUUUAAUAUUUUAUGCAUACGUCUAAAGAUUCGAUGUGACGGAGAAUGUUGAAAAAUUUUGGGUUUUGGGUGAAAGUAAACAAGGCCUCAAUCAGAACAUGAAGCAGAGUUUUUUUUUAAGGAGAGUUGGUCCUAGUAGACUCAUGGACAUGAGUCGCCUCUAGCUGAUCAAAACCGAGGAAUUUCUCUGCCAAUGUCAAUGGAAAUCAUCACCACCUCACCACUUAUUAUGGAUUCUCUUUGUGACAUGUUCUGUAAACAUCGCUAAUGAUUGAUCUAAGAAACAAAUGUACAAAAAGCAGCUACCUCAUCCAGGUACUGCUCAGAAAAUCAUGCGGAAAGCAAUAUCAGAUGAUGGCAUCUAACAAUACUUCUUUUGCUUUCUUCAUGUCCAGUUUGCAUAUUUUGUUGCUUCCUCACUGCACUUCUGUUCGAUCGCAACACUACACCGACAAUCUAAUCAGCACCCAUACUUGUAGCUGCACAAUGUGUGUAUGUAUCUGCAGGAUUGCUCUAUGUCGGUUCACGUAUAGUGCGGUGAUGUGGACUUGUCCAUGUUUGGUAGAUGUGAUGUGGACUUGUGAUGAGGUUGGGUGGCCUUUUGGUCUGGAAGAAAGGGAUGUCUCUCCCCUUUGUACCGAAAGCCUGCUGUGCCUUUUGCCGACUUCCAGUUUGCUACCAGUUUCUGGGCGUUUCUGUUGUUAAGUUGACACUGACUGGGCGGCAAAAGGGUGUGUUUUCUGCAUAUAUAAUAACAAGCGAAAGCACUAUGUUUUAUUUUUAGUAAAUCAUCGUCGUUUUUCUAUUUUUGAUUUAAGGUGAAUUGCUAGUGUUGUCAUUUCGUUGUUGUAACUUCAAUACGUUGUGCAACGAGAUAUGGGGGUUACGGAUUACAGUACGUGUUUGCAUCAUAUAGUCUGGCAAUAGGCUGCAUAUGUGCUUGUUUUUAGACACAGGAGAAUGUUGGGGUUUGGUCUCACAUUACUUGGCAUAUUGUGUUUAGCCCUUUAGAGCGUGUUUGGGCUACUCCAUGAACUCUGCUCCACAAAUUCUACCAUGAAUCAACUCCAUGAAAAAUCUAGAGUUUGAACUGAGUACAUGGACUUGAACCUGUUUGCCUAGAAAAAUAUAGAGUGGAACCUGCUUAGCUAAAAAAAACUAUAGAAUGUUACAUCCAACUUAAAAUCAGGUGUGCUUUAUAUACUUUUUAGAGCCACAUCAUUUUUGUCUCACCAUGCUUGAUAAGAACUACCCAUAUAUAAAAUGGUUCUCUACGGAGACCCUCUAGAAUUCGAUAUCUAGAACCGGUUGAUAAUAACUCUAUAGAAAUACCAAACUGGGUGGUAUUUUUACAGCUCUAGCAGGCCCUCUACUGUUCUCCAAACUUGUUGACCUUCUAUUUUUCCCCCUCACCACCCAUUCAUGUUGGCCCCUUACUCGUUUGUUUACCCCUUUUUCCUCUGGCAUUUGUCCUUUGCCCGACGCAUCCCCCCUCGGCCCCUCCCUACCGGCGUCCCUGCCUGGCGUGGCCGCACCGUCGACGCUGGGCAGGAGGCAGCACGGCGGGCUCUGGCGCCUCCACGUCUGCAGGCACCUCCUCCCUGGCCUCUUUCCAUCGGCGGGCACGUCUCCUUCCAGGCGGCAUCUUGCUCGAUCGCAUGAAGGAUUUAGAAAUCGUUUUGAAAAAGAUUUGAGUCAUGUAUUGAGAAUAUAAAAAAUUAUCAAUAACUUUUAAUUUGUUAAGUUUAUAGAUAUAAAAGUUAUAUAAAUAGAUUUGUCAAGAAAAAAAUACUUUCAUAAAAAUACAUAUAUUAUUCUUUUUCUAAAUAUUUUUAUAAAAAUAAGAGGUCAAAGUUGUAUAUUGAAGACUGUGCCGCUGUCUUAAACGACUUUUAAUUCCUAUACGGAUGGAGCAUGUGUCUUAGGUCAAUCUCAAUGAAAGUUUUAUUAGAGUUUCAUACACAUUAAGUAUGCUGAUAUGACAUUGUAUUAAUAAAAAGAGAUGAUAAGAGUUUUAUGGGCGUAGAGAAAGUUUUAUCCUCAUAAAACUCUUCUACAUUAUUUCUAAAAUAUAAAUAUAUUGGAAACUAAGUCAUGAAACCCUACUAAAAAUGACCUUAGAGUAUCUCCAAGAGACUAGGUAAAAUUAUAUUCUAAACUACAAGAUUUAGUCAUUCCGUAAAAUAAAAAAUUCACUCAAAACAUAGAGUUCCACAACAACGUUUGAGAAUAGCUAGUGAGGAUGACAUGCUAUAUAUGAUAAGUGAAAGUUUAGAAAUAGCAAAUUUGCUAUUUUAGCAAACUAGAUAGCACACAUAUUGAACUUUGAUUUUUACUUUAAAAUAUAAAAAUAACCUAAAUAACAUGGAUAAUAUAUAUCCGUUGGUAUUACUCUUACCAGAUCUCCCUAUCAAUCGCACCUUCUCCCUAACUCUCUAGUGGCCUCCCCCGCUGGUGGGCGGUGUGCCCCUUUCCUGCCUCGAAGGAAGGCUGAGUUUUUCGAUGACGGCAAGGGAACGUAAAAGUUAUACGUGGGUUUCCCAUAGCAUUUACUAUUAUGAUAAAUUUGGAAGGCUUGUUUUAUGUAGUGCUGCUGAAAUUAAUAAAAAGUUAAGAAGUAUUAACAUAUAGGUUACUACCUAAAUAAACAAGUAAGUAGGGAGUCUGAUUGUCAGAGAUGCUCUUAUCUUGCGGCCAAUGCCUAGAGUAUUAAAUAUAAUUAAAAAUAAAAACUAAUCAUACAGUUUACCUGUAAUUUAUAAGACGAAUUUUUUAAGCCUAGUUAGUUUUAUGAUUGGAUAAUAUUUGUUAAAUAAAAACGAAAGUGUUGCGGUACCUAAAAUCCUAAAUUUUUAUCAACUAAACAAGCCUUAUAAAACUACUGGUGAUAAGUAAACAUACCUGGCAGUGGCGUGUGCCUCCGCUACGUCUAUAUGCUCCUGAAAAGCAGCCCGGCACACAUAUUGUGAUCAAUUGUCCUGGCACGGCUUGGAUGGAUCCAGGAUUCGAGAUCCUUUCGCUACCUACUACUACUACUCCCUUGAUACCAAAUAUAGGACGCUAGACUCUUUUUGAACCUAAAUUUGAUUACUCAUUUUAUUCAAAAAAAUUAUACAAAAGUAGUCAAAUUCAAGUUAUUUUUAAAUAACUUUUAUUAAUAAGUCAAACCGUGACAAAAAAAAAUAAUAUUUUAUAUAAAUUUUUAAAUAAAACGAGUAGUCAAAUUUAAUAUUGAAAAAGCUAAACGUCUUAUAAUUUAGAAUAGAUUGAGUAGUUAUUUUCUAUAGACGUGUAUAAAGUGGGGAAAAAGGAGGCGCGUCUAGAAUAGGCUUCAAUCUUGUUUGAACAGCUGUGUUGUUAUCAGUAAAGCGAGAUAUCUUUUCUCAAAACAAGAAAAAAAUGAAGGAAUUUAAUCAUUCGUUUAAUUUGGAUCCGAAUCCGACGCUGAGAUUCUACUAUUCUACGCACUUCGAUGGCACGUCCCCAAAAAGUUGGUGCUCCUUUUUUUAUAAUAAGGAAGUUGAUACUCCUUUGACCUCAGCAUGACACAUAAUAACGAAUCAUAGCUACAUUGAAAAACUUGCAACACUUUUACUUUCUCGAGUCUUUUCACCCAUCUUGAUUUUAUAGAGGCAUGGGAGAAUCAUUGGUGGGGUAAUUUGGCCGACAAGGUGAGGGCACGGGAUACUUUAGUUAUUGUUUUAUUUACAUAUUCCCUCCAUAUCUAAAAAGAUAAUUAUUUAGGACAAAGACAUGGUCUCUAAAAUCUACUUUUAACUUUUUAUUUUUAUUAAAAUAUUUUAAAUAUGGUAUAUGUAUAUUUUUAUAAAAGUAUUUUUUAAUACAAAUCUAUUUAUAUAGUUUUCACAUUUCUGAACUCCAUAAUUUAAAAGAUAUUCAUAAUUUAUAUUUCUAAUGUUUGACUCAAACUUUAUUCAAAACAACUUUUUUAUGGGUAUGAAGGGAGUAUAUAUGUAAGGUUGCUUGUCUCAUAUCAAAUCAAAAUGUAUAAAUAUAUACUACUACAAAAUAUAUUUUUUUCAUACAAACCAAUUUAUUUUCACAGACAACAAGCACCUCUGCUUCUGCAAAUACCUCUAGCAUUUUCAGAUACAGCCUAGACGGGUCUCCGGAAAUCAGUGGCGGAGCCAGAAAUUUUAUAUAGAGGGGGCCGUGCUACCAAAAAUACAUACAAUAUAAUAUGAAUCCCAAAAUAUAUACAUAGGGAUUAAUCAUGCAUUAUGUGUCUAUAUAUCACUAAAAUCACCAUUAAUUGUACAUGCAACAUGUCUAUAAUGUAAAAAACAGAAAAAAAAAUGGUACAUGCAAGUUAAUCGCUGAUGAUGAGUUGUUGAUUGCUCUGGAGCUUCCAUUACUCAAGUGUCCUCUUCUUCUCAGCAAGACAAAACGUUCAGGUUCAAGCGUUAAUUCUCUGGUUUCUAACUCCCACGAUUGAUCCUAAUAAUAUCCUAUUGCUUGGUUUGCUUCAAAUAAAAUAAUCUAUCGACUACUAAAGUGAACUAAAAAUGAACAUACCUGGUCAACAGCUGUGUUCUCCGUGGUUAUAUGGGGUGAUCUGUCGAUCUCUUUCCCAGAUUUACCACAUUAGAUCGUGUACUUUGGCAUUUGGCCUUUGCUCGAUGGAAUUGUACAGACGUAUACAAUUCAUAUCUUUUUGCGGCAGACAUUAGGGGGGCCGUGGCCCCUGCUGGCCCCUCCCUGGCUCCGCCAGUGCCGGAAAUAAAGAACCAACCCCAAUUAUUCCAUCGAGGUCCGAUUUCUCACUCCCAUAUAGAAGUCCCUUAAAUUAGACCAUAGAUUGUCAACAUGGUAACUGUCCUCUCAUCAUCAUUAAGUCAUCAGUGACAUUUGACGGAACAUGAUUUGUUUUGUGGACAGUGGUGUUGUUGUCCCUCGGCAGCUAGAUUCGGUGCCUGGAUUGCGUUGUUGCCAUGUUGUAUAGGUUGCCAAUUGCAUCAUACACGAAACUAUCUGAUAAGGAUAUCACUUGUUCGAAUACAAGCCACAGAGACAGCGUGGGCGUCAAAGUCAUCUAAGUCGACUACUAUAAAAUUUCUUUUGCAUGGUGUUACCUUUUUUAUGAAUGGCGGCCGGCACACCUCCCAACCGCCUCCGUUGUUCCAAGCCAGAUUGCCCUCACAAAGGCCCGUCUCGGUUAAACUUCAUGGUGGAGUCCCAGUCCAACUUAAGUUGAAGUCUAUUUUGGAUUCUGUGAUGCAUACGUACUCUUUCGAUUACCUACCUAUGCAUGAAAAGAUAAUUUUAGAAGCUAGCAAAUGAUGUUGGUUUGACAUUCAAAUGCCACAGUCAACGAGAAUCAUCGAAACAAGUCAGUGUCCAGAAUCAGCUAAGGUGUUGUGACACGGUCUUUUGGUCUAGGAGACCGUAUAUCAUCUUUGAGCCCAUUAAAGGGUGCAUCUAGGGAUUUGCACCCACAAGACUUAAUAAUUAGUGACAUCUGCACUCGUUAGGUUUUGAGUUUUGUUUACUUCUUGUUUUCUCAUGAAACAGACAUCAUUUGUAACACUUGUAAUGCCAUGUUCAUCUCCUGUGAAUUAGGACCCCUGUUCUUGUUCUUGUUCACCUGUAUCAACCAGUCCUUUUGAAUCAUGAUUAGAACAUCAUUCUGGAUUGAUGCACUUCAUCUAAUUUGCAAUAAUAGAUUGUGUUCUUCAUGUUCUUUCUUGUGUUCUCGUUUUGCUUGAAGGAAAAGCCUUUUAGGCGAGGUCACGUGUUAUUCAUGGUUGAUAACUAACGUAGCUAUAAUAGUGGUUGUAGGGGUCUGAAUCAUACUUGGUUUGAAGACUGGAUUGUGAAUAUCGGUUCUCCACCAAUCAAAUCUAUCAUACCUAUCGAAAGAUCCACUACCAUGGUACAAAGUUUCAUAGAUAAUUAAAAAGGAUUUUUGGAAUGAGGGCAUGUUGUCCCACCUCCAUCCUACUGCCAUAGUUAAUCAUAAUUUCUAGAGGUAGGCACAUGCUCGCCUCUGGAAAUCAAUUUAAAAGGCAAAAAGGACAGUUGAGCCUACUUCGAGCCUAUUGAGCCCAUAUUGAACCAGGCACCACCACCGUGCCUUGCCUUCCUCACGACAACACUGGAGGCAGGCAAUGCAACCUCGACCACCUCCGUUAAUCAUACAUUAACAGAGGUGGUUAGUUUAAAGGGACCACCUAUGUUAAUAUUUUAAUGGAGACGUCCAAACUAAGACAACUGCUUCCUUUAAUAGCAUUAUUUUCUUAAAACGACCGUCUCCAUUAAUAUUUAAUCGAGGCAAGCCUGCAAACGGGUGAGCGGGCCUGGCCAUGGUAGAAACAAUGGAGGCAGGCACAAAUUGCGCUCGCCUUCAUUCUAAAAGGACAACGCCGGUCCAAAAUAAAUCUUGUAGUAGUACUUGUGUUUAUAGCCACAUCCCUCACCUGGUGAUCUCGAUUAAGGACACCUCUAGUGGUGUCUUAAGCCAGUCUAAGUAGCAGGCUUUCAUAUUACUGUUUUAUUUCUAUAAAAUUUAUUUCAUCUCACAAAACUUUUAUUACAUCUCUUUAUUAAAAUUACGUUACACCACAUAAACUUUUUAACAGUCAUAAAACUCUCGUAAAGCUUCCUCAGUUUAUUUAUUUAAUACCACGUUAGCUUAUUGAGUGGCCAUAUCAGCUUUUUAUUUAUCUUUUCAUUCUACGAGGAAUUCGUCAUGUGUUUUCAGCGCACGGAUCGAAGGAUGCGACGCACGAUCUUUGUCUCUCACCCGUUGUCGGCUUUGUUAGCUCAUCUUAUAAGACAUUCUUUUUCUAUUAGCUAAUAAUAUUUUUUUCAUAAUAAAUUAGUAAACAGUAAUUUUAAUCAUAAAUUGACUUUUCAGAUGCGAACUUAGGCAUUUUUUAGAUGCGAUUUUUUUUAAUUCCGCUACUGUAGCACUUUUAUUUAUUUGUGACAAAUAUUAUUCAAUUAUGGAUUAACUAGGAUAAAAAGAUUUGUCUCACAAUUUACAGCUAAACUGUGUAAUUAGUUUAUAUUUUCGUCUAUAUUUAAUGCUUCAUAUAAGCGUCACAAGAUUCGAUAUGACGGGAAAUCUUGAAAACUUUUUGGUUUUUGAUGUGAACUUAGGCCUUGUUUAGUUCCGAAAAUUUUUGGAAAAUGGACACUGUAGCACUUUCGUUUGUAUUUGACAAAUAUUGUCCAAUUAUGGACUAACUAGGCUCAAAAGAUUCGUCUCGUCAAUUCCGACCAAACUGUACAAUUAAUUUUUAUUUUUAUCUAUAUUUAAUACACUCCAUUCAUACGUCUAAAGAUUCGAUAUGAUAGGAAAUUUGAAAAAUUUUGUGAUAACUAGACAAGGCCUAAACAAAGCCUUACCUUGGUCGGGGCACGCCAGCAGCGCAUACUGAUCUGUAGGCGCGUACGCGUACACGUACCCACACGUAUGGUAUGGAAGAGGCAGCGGCGGUCGCCGUCGCCCCCCUCACGCAUGGUCCUCCAUCUUGCAAUGAGACAAGGCGGCACAGACGAGAGCACGCGCAAUCGCAUGCGGAUGCGGCCGGGCGGCGGGCGGCGGGCGCAUGAAGACGACGCGGCGCCAACAACAGGCCACCAGCUCGGCAGCGACGACGAAUCAGCGAUUAGACUAGUCGACCUGUACUGUACGUCACGCGGAUCCAGCCGUGCAGGUCGACUCCAAUGGAUGGACAUCGAUAGAAACUGCCUGCUGCAUGCAUGCAUGCUUUUGUAGCUUCUCUGCUAAUGGAAUAUGCCAUCGCCGACGGCGACGCGCCAACGCCUGCAUGCACUUCCGUACGUCGUCUGCCUCGAUGCGCUAACUGAAUGUGUUAGGAAGAAAAUAGAUAAAUAAAUAAAGAAAUAAAUGUGUUUUAAGCGUACUUUUUCUACCAGCGAGCAGUGGUUUGCUGUCUUAAUAAAUCAUGGACAAUACUUUCGGUUAUAAAUUUUUAGACAAACGAAUAUGCUUGCGUUUCUAUAGGAGAUUUGGAGAUGCAUUAUUCCAUUUUGAUCAAAGGGAAACCAAUUGAAUGUUUUCUAGGCCUUGUUUAGUUAGCGAAAAUUAAUUUUUGGGUGUCAGAUCGGAUAUACCGGUACACAUUUGAAGUAUUAAACGUAGACUAAUCAAAAAACAAAUUACAUAAUUCGUCUAGAAACUUAAACAAAGUACAUAGUUCGUAUAGAAACUGCAAGAAGAUUUUUUUUUAAGCCUAAUUAAUCUAUUAUAAGUACAAGUUGAUUACUGUAGCACUUACGGCUAAUUAUAGACCAAUUUUGCUUAAAAGAUUUGCCUCGUAAUUUACAACCAAAUCGUGCAAUUAGUUUUUUCAUCUACAUUUAAUACUCCAUGCAUGUGUCGAAAAAUUUCCUAUCACAUUGAAUGUUUAGAUGCAUGCAUGGAGCAUUAAAUAUAAAUAAAAAAUAACUAAUUGCACAAUUUACUUGUAAUUUGGGAGACAGAUCUUUUAAGUCUAGUUAGUGCAUGGUUGAAUAAUAAUUAUACUAAAUAAAAACGAAAGUGUUAUAGUAGCACAACCCAAAAAGCAAGUGGAACCAUUUUGAUUUUGAAUAAAUUACAGAAGAUGUCAAUAUUUCUGAUACUAAAAAAAAGGUAUUAUGUAUUAGGAGUUAGGAUCUAUAUUUUCUUGACUAUACAUAAUUUUUUUUUGUAAAAGAAAAGUAUUAAUAUUUUUAUAUAUCUUGUAUCAAACUUUUAAAAAAGUUUGACUAGGUACAAAUUUAGAGCUUUUGUUUCCCCGGACGCCGGAUCCUGACCAAUCGCAGCUUCCUGGGCCUUGCCUGUGGUCUUGAAAGGAAUUAAACGGCCGUCGUCCUCGUGCGACGAAGACCACCUUUGUUCCCCCGGUGCACCGCACGCGCGCGUCACCCCGACCGCCCAGCGGCAUGCAUGGAUCCCAUCCCUUGGUGGCGCACCGCAGCCGCCGGGCUGGCCGCAACAAGACAAAAAGGCCGUCCGACCCCGCCCACCCACGCGCAUCACACCCGCGUGCGGCCGCAGAUGGAGAUGGCGGACCGCGCGGAGACGGCGACAAGUCGACGGCGACGAAGACUUCCCCCUCGCGGACGCCGGCCGGAGCCCCGGAGCCGUCUCCGUCAAGGCGUCAACUGAAGCGCGCGCCCGCGAGAGAAUUUUUUAAGUUAAGGUAGCACUUUCGUUUAUAUUUUGUAAUUAUUAUUAUAAAUUAAGUCGGUUUAAAAGAUUUAUCUUGCAACAAAUAGUACACUUAGUUAUUUUUGUAAUCUAAAUUUAAUAUUUCAUGUACGUGCGCAAGAUUUUAUGUGAGGAAUCUUAAUUUUUUUUAAACUAAACCAGGCCUUAGUUCAUGCCAAAAUCUAAAAGCUUUUCAAAUUUUCUAUCACAUCAAAUUUUACGGUAUAUGCAUAAAGCAUUAAAUAUAGAUUAAAGAAUAACUAAUUACAUAGUUUGUAUGUAAUUUGCGAGACGAAUCUUAUAAGUGUAGUUAGUCUAUAAUUGGUCAAUAAUUAUCAAAUACAAACAAAAGUGCUAUAGUAGUCAAAUCCAAAUUUUUUCACCAACUAAACAAGGCCUUGUUCCUGAGAAAUUUUGCAAACUUUUUUAGAUUCUCUGUCACAUCGAAUCUUACGGCACAUGUAUAAAGCAUUAAAUAUAGAUUAAAAAAUAACUAAUUGUACAGUUUACCUUUAAUUUACCAACCGAAUCUUUUAAGUCUAGUUAGUUUAUAAUUGAACAAUAUUUAUCAAAUAUAAACGAAAAUACUAUCAUAUCUAUUUUGUAAAAACUUUUGUAACUAAAUAAGACCUUACGCAAAGAAAAAUAAGGCUAGCCUUGUUUAGUUGCGAUUUUUUUUUGAAUUUCGCUACUGUAGCAUUUUCGUUUUUAUCUGACAAACAUUAUCCAAUCAUAGAAUAACUAGACUCAAACGAUUCAUCAAGCGAUUUACAGUCAAACUGUGCAAUUAGUUUUUGUUAUCAUCUAUAUUUAAUGCUCGAUGCAUAUGCCAUAAGAUUCGAUGUGACAGAGAAUCUUGAAAAGUUUUUGAUUUUUGGUGAAGGCCUUGUUUAGUUUCUAAAAAUUUUCAAGAUUCCUUGUCACAUUGAAUCUUGCGGCACAUGCAUGAAACAUUAAAUAUAGAUAAAAAAAUAACUAAUUGUAUAUUUUAUCUAUAAUUUGCGAGAUGAAUCUUUUAAACUUAGUUAGUCUAUAAUUAGACAAUAACUAUCAAUUAAAAAUAAAAUUACUACAGUAGUAAAAUCUAAAAAUUUUCGCGAACUAAACAAGGCCUAAUAAAACAAGCGAGCGGGCUAGGUCCAACUCCGACGGGCCGGGGCUGGUCCAGUCCAACCAACGUCUCCUCCCGUCGUCAGCCUCUGUUCUGUUGGACCAGUCGUGAGACGACAGCGGUCAAUGCAUCACGCAAGCAAAUGCAAAGCCGCGUGCUUCGCUCGGCUGCCACCCACCUCUGGCGCCCGGCGGCGGCUUCUGGCUGUCCUCGCGUGCCUCGACGCGGACGGAUUCCUUCCGAGGCCUUGUUUAGUUCACCGAAAACCAAAAAAUUUUUCAAGAUUCUCCGUCACAUCGAAUCUUGUGGUACAUGCAUGAAAUAUUAAAUAUAGACAAAAAUAAAAACUAAUUACACAGUUUAACUGUAAAUCACGAGACGAAUCUUUUGAUCCUAGUUAGUCUAUAAUUGUAUAAUAUUUGUCACAAACAAACGAAAGUACUACCGUACCGAAAAGUUUUCACUUUUCGAAACUAAACAAGGCCCGAUUCCUCCUAUCGAUUCCUAUGGCACAUGUAUAGAGCAUUAAAUAUAAAUAAAAAUAAAAACUAAUUAUAAAGUUUAUCUAUAAAUCAUGAGACGAAUCUUUUAAACCUAGUUACUCUAUGAUUGGACAAUAUUUGUCAAAUAAAAACGAAAAUGCUACAGUAUCAUUUUCCUAAAUUUUUUUGAAACUGAACAAGGCCUUAGAGCUGACAAAGGAUCAUCAAACUCGUCUUUCUAUAGGAGCAUCUUCAAAAGAGUCUUUGUUCUAUAAAAAUUACUUUUUAUAUUUUUCACUCUCCAACAAUCUUUUUAUUUCUCGUGCGUACUCUAGAGAGUCAUUCUCAUCUUCUAUUUUUUACUAGCGAAAAAUCAAGAAUAAAAAAUAGUUAUAUUUGCAUAACCAUUUAGACAAACUGUGAGAGGGUAAUUUUUCUCUAAAAUAUCAUUUCGUAGCAUUUAGAAAGAAUUUAAAGAGUCUCUUAUAGUCAGUGUCGGUCCUAAGGGGUGGACACUAGGUGCGACUGUCGAGGGCCCAAGCGGAAUGGAAGCCUAAGCCCAAAUAUAUAAGAUUCCAUACUCUUUAGCUAUAGAAUUUAGGAUUAACGAGAAGGUGCAGCGGCUCAUUAGCAAAAAUGAGUUUUUGGUCUCUUUCUGUCUAGGAGCCGAGCCGUCAAUGUCCACAGCCCUGCACACGACACAUAGCAAUCGUGACUUCUCCGUUUCGCACUUCGACACUUGGUGAGACAACGAGACAUAGGCACACCACCGAUCAGAUCGCCACAUGAUCGCACCACCAGUGCCGAUCAGUAACGUUCUAACGCACGAGUUCCAGAAUUCAGACGAUGACAUUCUAGACGACAGCGGCGACUAGGCAGCUCACUAGCUGAGGCAAAGCCUUUUGUUCUUCUGCCCUUUUUAUAAUUUGUGAACGUUGGUUUUAAAUUAAUUUUUGUCUAAAUUGUAUAGGUCCUAGGUUUUUUUUCCUUAUUUAACUUUUGUCUAGUAUUUUGUACUCAUAUAGUUAUAUUUUACUUAAAAAAUUAGUUUAUGAGCCUGUUUCACUUGAACUUAUUUGCCGAAUGUGCCAGCAAUUUAGUAAUAUUUUUCUCACAUAAUAAAUCAGUGAAUAAUAGUUUCAGUUAUGACUUUUUAGACAAGCGAACAAACCUAUAAUAUAAGAUUUUUUUGAUCUACAGAGCCCUUAAAAUCAUAGGACCGACGCUGCUUAGAGUUGCUCUAACGAGCUCAUUCAAAACACAUGCCUUGUAUUCUUAGGGCGUCCCCAAUAGCUCAUACAAAUAGUUGGCUGAUCUUGAUGCCAAAAACAGUAAUAAAAGAUCGCAUAGCAUAGCAGCAGAAUUAGGUUAUAUCUUAGCAUUAUUUUUAAAAAUAGGUCAGUUACAAAUAAACUAUUUACAAUUUUCUUAUAAAAGAUGUAAGAAUUUUUUUUGACUAGCAGCUUUAUUAUACUUAUUUCUUGGAACAAAGGUUUUUUUCUUAUGAAUUUUGGAGUCUUUGGUUCCUUUUUUUUUAUUUUGACAAGGCGUCUUUGGUUUCUUUGGAAAGGAUUAAUGUGAUACCGUUAGGAACAGAGGAACUCUCUGGUUCCCGUUCCUUUAGUAAGUCAACCGGCCAUGUGCAUUUUAUAGGAAAUAAACGGAUAUUUUCCUAUAAAAUGCACAUCUUGUUCCUUGCUCUCUCCUUCCUCUAAUCGAAACAACAAAAAUCUAGACAUUCUUCUCUUUUGGAUUUCUACGGGGGUUCCUGUUUUUGACUACAUCUUUUUUGUGUGUUUUCAUUCCCCACCUCUACGUUCCAAACAAGGCCGGUAAUUUGCAUAAUUUAUUAUUAUUUAAUAUUUUUUUGCAUAGUAGCAUAUGCUGGGAAUUUUAAAGUAAAUUUGAGGAAAUGUUAUAAUUAUUCUUUAUAGCUGUGAAUAGGGAUGAAAACAGUACAGAUAUUUUUCGAUCGUUUUUUAGACCGAAUUCGUUUAGAGAGGUUCAGAUCUAUCGAAUAUUCAAUAUCCGAUACCGUAUCCGUAUCCGAAUACUUAAAUCGUAUAUUUAUGAUGUCGACAUCCAAUCCUAUCUUAUCCGACAUGAUUGACAUUAUUCGUAUUCGAAUCCGAAUCCUAAACCGACCAGAAAUAUGAAAACAAAUAUGAUAUCAGUGAUAUCCGUCCGUAUCCGAUCCGUUUUCAUCCCUAGCUGUGACGUAGGUAGUUAAUAAGCAAAUUUAAUUUUUUUACUGAUAUUAUCUAUUACAAUGACAUAUAGGAGUAAUUUGAUGCAAGUACAUGGUUACUUUAGAUUAUGUUUAAUGACAAAUGUGGACAAUUCCAUAGAAACAUUUUAUGCCUAAUGGUUAUCAUUGUCGAUGAUAAUUGUAGCCUAGCUACUAUGGUGGGUGUUUUUUUGUCUGAGAUUUUUUUAGGAUUUUUUCUAGCGCACCUUAUAAAUAGUAAUGACAUGUUUCAUUAUAAUUAGUAUAUGUAGAGACUCCAUUAGUGCUUAGUAAGAUGGUCCAUCCCACCAUACCUUCCACACCCAUGAUUCUACAACCCUAGUUAUUCUAUAGGAGGGGGAUAUAAAACAACACCAUCCUUCGUUCUGAAUUGGAAACCGAUGCUACCUACUCCCUAUCUGAUACCAUGUUCAAAAAAGGAACAGCCGUUCAUGUGCAUGCCCAAAAGGUGAUGAUGGAUGCAGCAGGCAUGCAACGCCAGUUAUAGCUGACAAAAGGAGCUUAACAACUUCAGAUCUGCCAAGUGAAUACGUUCUGAAGAAAAGGGAGGAAGAUGAGGCAGCACUGCAGGAAAAAAGCUUCCCUUUUGAUCCUUUUGACCUCAGCAAUGCACAUAACGAACCAUGUCAACUUCAGAAACUAAAAUCUUUCCACGAUGUAAUGAUUGAUUCAGAUGACUAUUACAGAUCCAAGCACUCAAACCACCAGAGUAGUAGUAGUAGUUCUCAACAAUUUUUAUCUUUUUAUAACCAAAAAAAAUUGCCCAAUAAUAAUACACAUGAGCAGGUCCUAACAACAAUCCUCACUAGAAAAUUGGAAUUAAAUACGUGAAUGGUGAUUCUUUUCUUCUCAUCAAUCUUUGACACUGAUCUACUAUCAUCUAUGCACAUUGGUAAAAGAAUAUGGAAAACCUUCCAACGAGGAAAAGCCGAAAGCAAAGAUACAAGUAUACAACGAAUACAGAAGAAAGUGGGGGAGAAAGAAAAAAGAAAGAAAGAAUGAAUGAUCUUUUUCCGUCGUGCUGGUCGUCUCGUCAAUCGUUUCACCUGCAUGACGGACGGGCCAUGUGUUGAUCCGCUGCUCUGUCACUGUCGGGUUGUUUGCAAGUCAAUCGAAGGUUUUCUCCCUCACCAAGAAAUCAAGCCGUUCAUCUGAUCACGCGGCAGCGGCAGCAGCAGCGGCGGCAUCGGACAUGUCGGCGGCGAUUGCCUUCUGAUCCCCCGCUCUGGCUUGAUCGCCUUUUUCAACGGGAACACCAUGACCCCAGGAACAGACAGGGCCAUUUGGUGUCCCCAAUCAAUGGCGACGCGCGUGCGGCGGCUUGCUGUUGGCAAGCACCCGCACUCGCACCAUGGUCCAUGGAAGUGGCCGAUGACGCAAUGCGAAUGCCUACGUUUCGUCAACAACGGCUAGUCGGUGUCGGUGAGGUCGAACUGGUCGGUGCCGGAGCGGGAGAGCACGGCGGGGCGGCGGCCGGUGGUGCCGGCGCGGGAGAGCGGCGCCGCCCCGCAGGCGGCGAGCGCGCGCUCCAGGGCGUCCACGACCUCGGUCAUGGACGGGCGGUCGCACCCCACGGGGCCCACGCAGCCGGCGGCGAGGUAGCCCACGUAGGCCAGCGCCUCGGCCUCGUCGGGCGUGGGCGCGGGCAGGCGCGGGUCCAGCACGCGCGCGACGUCGUCGGCGAGGAUGUGCGGCACCGCGAACUCCACCACGUUCUUGGGCGUCACGCUCUCGGCGUAGCGCUGCACGACUCGGCACCCGGACAUGAGCUCCAGGAGCACCACGCCGAAGCUGUACACGUCGCUCUUGUCCGUCAGGUGCUGCAGCCGGUAGUACUCCGGGUCCAUGUACCCCACUGUUCCGCCGGUGUAGAGCGGCUCCUGCGGCGCGCCGUCGUCUCCGCCGCCGCCGCAGGCGCCCGCGCCGGGGUCGAGCACGGAGGACAGCCCGAAGUCGGCGAUCUUGGCGGUCCACGCGUCGUCCAGCAGGAUGUUGGCGGACUUGACGUCGCGGUGGAUGAUGGGCGGCACGGCGUAGACGUGCAUGUACUCGAUGCCCCGCGCCGCGCCCAGCGCGAUGGUGAGGCGGCCCCGCCACGACGACACGGCCGCCGCCAUGGGGCUGCGGCUGUGCAGCUGGUCGUGCAGCGUGCCGUUGGCCAUGAACUCGUACACCAGCACGCGCUCGCCGGAGUCGGCGCAGCAGCCUAGCAGGCACACGAUGUUCUUGUGGUUGGCGCGCGCCAGCGCCGUGAGCUCCGAGUUGAACGCCGUCUCGCGGUCGCGGCGCCGCGCCGGGCGCGCCGCCGCCGAGCUCGACGCCUUGGCGGACUCCUCGGCGCGCUUGAUCGCGACCUCGCGCCCGUCGGGGAGGGUGCCGCGGUACACGGACCCGAAGCUGCCGGUCCCGAUGCGGCUGUCGUCGGAGAACCCGUCCGUCGCGGCGUGGAGCAUGUCCAGCGUGAAGUGCUCCACCACGCUGCCCGGGCCCCUGCUCCUGCUGGACCCGAGCCUCGGCGGCAUCAGCGACUGCAGCGCGCCACCGGAGGCAUCCUGUUCGUUCCCGCGGCGGCGCCGGCGGCGCCGGCGACACCACAGGACCAGCGCGAGCUGCAAUGCCGCCAAGAACACGAGGAAAGCGGCGCCCGCCGCCGCGAUGGCGAUCCACAUGGUCCUCCUGCUCCUGCCGCCGCCGUUCCCGGGGAGGACCGACGCGUUGGGCCUGGCGACGUUGAGCUCGAACGCGCAGUCGACGCAGACGCAGCGGCCCUCGUCGCAGAGGUUGGCGGAGCCCGGCAAGACGCCGCAUUGGCACGAGGACAUGGGCACGCAGGGCCCCGGCAUGACGCGGCCGAAGACGAGGCGGUUGGUGGCGUUGAACUCGGCGCCGCCCCAGCAGAGGAGGGAGUAGUUGGCCAUGAGCACGCCGCAGAAGGCCUUACCGUGCGCGCGCACGUCGAGGAACUGGGCGUGGGCGAGGCCGGGCGGCGGGUGGGCGACGCCGUCGCCGAAGCAGCGGAUGGUGAAAUUGGUGCGCAGGCCGCAGACGCCGGUCUCCCCCAAUGCCAGCGCCGCGUAUCCCCCGGUGCCCGCCGCGUCGUCGACCCUCGGCGGGUCGCGGCCCCAGCACGUGAGCGCCCCCGUCGUGGACAGCGCGCACGCGCGGUGGCCGCGCGCGGCCACGACGUCGAAGCUCCCGUCCUCCGGCGCGGCUUUGACGGCCUGUGCCGCCGUGUCGUUGCCGAAGCAGCGGAUGGAGGCCGGCGUCCCUUUGAGGAUGCCGCAGACGAAGCCGUCCCCGACGGCGGCGUCGACAAAGCGGAGGUCUCUGGAGAUGUUGAGGCCGCGCCAGCGCCAGCAGUGGAGCUCCCCGCUGUCGAGCACGCCGCAGACGCGGUACCCGCCGGAGGACAGCGCCCGGAGCGGCGGGCCCAUGUAGACCCGCUUGGACCUGCUGCCGUUCCCGUUCCCGGACAGGUCCCACCAGCGCAUGUCGACGUCGCCCGCGCGCUCGCCGGACGGACCCACGGCGCAGAGGAAGUCCUCCCCGCCGGCCAGCGCGGCGAACGGGUGCGAGGACGGGUACGUCUCCUGGCGCGCGUGGUCGCCGCCGGCCGCCGUGCAGUUGAGGUCGACCAGCAGCGGCGACGCCGCCGACGGCAGCAGCGCGCACACUAUGGUGGUGGCGUCCGCCUUGGCCAGCGCGAACGUGGACAGCGCGGACGCCGCCGCGCCGGACCCCCGCGUCGCGAGCAGCAGGAAGAAGGCGGGCAGCAGGAAGAGGAAGAAGGCGGCAUGGAGGUGGAGGUGGAGCCGGCGCGGCGGCGGCAUGGGAGUGCGCGGCGGCAGCGUGUGGGGAGGAGGAGGAGGAGGGGGAGCGGCAGGCGGGAGGACAUGGUAAGGCAGCAGCCGAGGCGGGCGUGGGGUGGGACAGGUGUGAGCGGCCGCGUCAGGUGGUGGAUUUGGCCUUGUUUAGUUCGCAAAAAUUUUCAAGAUUUCCCGUCACAUCGAAUCUUUGGUUACAUGCAUAGAGCAUUAAAUAAAGAUAAAAAUAAAAACCAAUUACACAGUUUAUCUGAAAUUUGUGAGAUGAAUCUUUGGAGCCUAGUUACUCUAUGAUUGGAUAAUGUUUGUCAAAUAAAAACGAAAGUGCUACGGUAGCCAAAAAAUCAAAAUUUUGCCAACUAAACAAGGCCAGCGUCGGUAAAAAUUAACUAAUUGCUGUCUCCUCUCCCGGCAGGUGCAGGUGCAGGGGCUGCUGGAGCAGGACAAGAAUGCGCUGUCAGGGGAGCAGUGGCGACGCAUGUGGCGAGAGGAUCAUGGUUGGUUGCUUCCUGUGGAUGCGAACCUGGCUGGGAAGGAAAACUACCGACUACCAGAAUGAUGCAACCUCGUCGGUGUCAGAUUACUGUUCCGGGCAGUUAGUUCCCUGGGCACGCCAAGUUUAAUUUUAAUCCGGUUUUUGUACCUGGCCCUUGUUUAGUUUCUAAAAAUUUUUACAAAAUUUCAUCGAAUCUUUACACACAUACAUAGAGUAUUAAAUAUAGAUGAAAAUAAAAACUAAUUACACAGUUUAGUCGGAAUUGACGAGACGAAUCUUUUAAGCCUAGUUAGUGGACAAUAUUUGUUAAAUACAAACAAAAGUGCUACAGUGUCUUCCCAACAAAUUUUAGAACUAAACAAGGCCCUGCUGACAGUGGCGGGUUACUCACCGGGAUUGACUGUAAAAGCGAAGUGACUGAUGAGCUGGUUCGCUCAUCAGCUCAGGCGGCAUGCCGGCUUCACCGGUGAUUAUCUACCCGCAAGUACAUUCCAUUAUUUUUGUUUUGUUUUGGUUUUUUUUGCUCCAAUGCCCAUGCCCACUCAUUACACUUGAUUUAUAAUAAAGUCGAAUAAGUACAUUCUCGUCACCCUCUCUUAUUCUCAACUUUAUCUUUGGAUCCACAUCUCUGGAAAACAACUUUGCCUGAUUUAAGCUGUCCACUUUACCAAAUUUUUUUAAUGUUCAUUAUAUGGAUAUAUUUUGUUUGUUGUGUGGUUAUGUGUUUGGACAGAUGCUUGGGUUGGGAACAACUUGAGCGCACCGAUGUCAAAUGGUGGGUCAAUCACAAAUCCUAAAUAAACUGUCCACAGGACCAUUUUGUAUCUAAAUUGCCAAAAAUUAUUGAGUUUUGGCUACUAAAAUAAUUCAGGGUUAAACUGUUAAAUUUUUUUCAUACGACAAAAGGCAUAUUAAUGUGAUUUUUUUAGAAGUAAAUGAAAAAAGAACAUUUAUAUAAUGUACCAUACUACUGACAUAUAGUGCUAGAAAAGUUAUUUUCAAUGCUUAUACCGUACUUAUCAUUUGUUAUUUUAAAACAUUACCAAAUACUAUAUCUUAUAAAAAGAAAGCAAGUGAAAGUCUUACUAAGAAAAUUACACGGAAAAAAUAGGGACACAAACACACUAAAAAGGAGAAAAAACAUUAGGUUAGGUGUCCGAAGGCUUGCAUCAUAAUCCCUAGCUCCUCAUUGACUAAUCCCAACAAUUUGUAAAGGUGAUCUCGCUAUUUCUUGAAAAGUUCUUUGAUUUCACUCCUUCCAACAACAACAACAACAACAACAAUACUCAUGUACAUGUCCAAUUCAUACUUAGAGGCUCAUAUUUCACUUUUUAGUUCUUUCUCCAAGCUAACGGGUAUAGAUUUGACGCUAUGUCAAUUGGUGCUUAACCAUUUAGUUAUGAUGAGUGCCAAAAAAUUUGAUUUGUCUCCUCGCCCAACAUUCGCCAUAGUCGAGGCAUGGGAAAGAGUUUUGUCCAUUUGAUUCCAUAGCGGAACAGUUCCUACCCACAGUCUUUCUGGAUUGACCCACUCAUACCAAAACAAUCUAAAUCUCAAAGGCCUUCCAAAUCUUUCCAAGAAUCCCUAGCCACUAGGUUCUUUGGUUUUGCUGCUUUUGGCCAUUGCAUCAGACAGUGGCUCCCAUUCACAUUAGGUUCCCCUUUCCAAUUAAUGGAACCCCCUCCUAGCCUUGUCAAUCUACUUUAUUGCCUAUUUGUUGAUUGGAAAGAAUGUUAUGAAGUGCAUUGAAAUUGAAGAUGUCACAAAGUUUACCACAAUAAUCCACCCAAUGCCUGUCCAAGAACUUGGUCUUCCAAUUCAGCAAUUUCACAUCCACUUUAUCUAUCAAUAGCUAUACCACCUGAACCAUCAUCAAUGACAUAGCAUUUAGAGGUAGGCUCAAAUAUUUGCAUGGAAAGGCUUUGACCUCACAUGAAUUGUCAUUCAAGAGAGCAAUUAGCUAGAGAUGAAGGAUCACAAGAAAUUGGGUAGAACACACAUUUCUAAAGAUUGCUUUACUGGACUAGAAGCCUAACCAAAGGCUGUCAAAAUCUCUAGUGUUGCACUAAACCCUUGCGUCGUUAGGUUUUAAAAUUGCCAUAUCAUCAACAUAUAGGCUCACCCUUCGCUUCACAUAUCUGUGUUGAAUUGGCUGUAGCAUGACAAGCUGCAUGGCUCUACCAAUGAGCCUCUACAUGGGGUCAAUUACCAGAACAAAUUAAAUAGUAAAGGUGUGACAGGGGAUCGCCCUACCUUAAACCUCUCCCAUGAUCAAACCAUUCACAACCAUUAAAAAGCACUAGAGGAACCUUUGUAUUGUAAUACAAGAGGGAAGAUAUACCCAAGCUUGCCACAGUGCGCCAAAUCCUAGUUAGUUUUGGUAAAACUUCUAGUAAGUAAUCUCAUCUAAUUGGAUCAAAAGCCUUCACGAUGUCUAUCUUAAAGACGUUCCACCAAAUAGACAUUCACAAGAGCGCACAUGCAUGUGCAUCGCAUUAUGAAUGCGUACAUGCAUGUACACCAUUGUUCUAAAUAGCAGACUAUAGCAGAGCUAUAAAGGCGUUAUAGCGACUCAAGCUUAGUUGCUUCUACAACAACGUUUUACUUAAUAGCGAUGCUAUAGUGAGGUAUAGUUAGUCAGUGAUUUAAAACACUAAUGCACACCAUAUUUCUAUAAGCACGUUCCAAAGAUCGAACCAAAAGAUGCGUGACAUUAAGGCCAGUCUCAGUGGGGAGUUUAAUCAUGUUGUUUCCAAGACUACCAUGUCAUGCGAAAUGAAAUAAAACUUGGAUGAAAUACUCACUCUCAAUGGAGAGUUUCAUUUUAUUGUUUCAUAGGCAUUUAAUUCCAAGACUCAUAGAGAGUUGGUAAUCGUAUCAAGAGAGUUUCAUCAUUUCUUCUCUCUCUUCUUAAAUACACCGCUAUGUCAUCAAAUAAAGUCUAUAUGACAACCUGUUUAAUGCAAAUGAAACUCAUAUAAAACUCCUAUUGAGACUGGUCUAAUGAAGUCUACAUGCAUAUAUAUAUAUAUAUUGCCCAAGAAAUUGUAUUCUUAAACAGAGGACAGCUUCGAAUUGUCUACCAUGAUUUAGUAUCACUUUGCUCUCCGGGAAUUCAUUCGUAAUCCUAUGGUCUGUCGAUAAACUCCGGACCCUGUUUGGAAUGCAGGAAAUUUUUUCAUGCGAAGUUUUUACAUCCAAUUGAGGUCUCAAGAGAUGAAAUAAUUGAGCAGAGAAGUAACCGACAUAUAUUUCGAGAGAGAUAGUAUAACAAGGAUCAAGGAGCGAGAUGAACGAAAGCGAGGGCGAGCACACAUCAAGGUUGGUUCGUCUUAAUGACACGGACGAAAAUCGAGCACACGGAUAGGUCAUGGUCAUCAUCUACGACACUAUUUAUGUCACUUUUCCCUUUCUUGAAAACUGAGCAUGGCAUGCUUGUUCCUCACCGGCUGACCGCGUCAACAACACUUCCUUGCCCCAUCCAAGCUGUUCUUCUCGUCAUCAGCUGGGAGAAGGAGCCUGGGAAACUUCUACCCCACCUUGCAAACUGAAACAGCAGCUAGCAGUGUACAACUUUUUCUGUGUCGUUUGAGAGUGUGCUUUCGUGACCACGAGUUGGAAGAGCAUAUAUAUGUGCAUGCAUGCAAAGCUAUAGUUACUAUACUACGUCUAUACCGUACCCAAAGCAAAAGAAAACAGACACAAAUAACAUAGGUUUAGCAUGGGCAUGGACUAGUAGCUAGGCCCAUAUUGCUAAUUGCUACUCUAGGUAUUAGGUGCGUGUGGACUCUACAGUAGUCUACACAAUGGAUCAGAGGUAGAUAUAUAUAAGUAUAUGGAAUGGGAUGCAUAUGAUACGAUUUGGUGUAGUGUUAGUGACAGUUUAAGCGAGAAGGAUGGACGAGUGUGUGUGUGUGUGUGUGUGUGAGACAAUGUGACUGCUGGGUCGUCGUUAGUUGGAGACUCGUGCAAGAAACGUCCGUCCGAACGGGCCAGCUCAGCCGAUGGCUAAUAACGAGCUACCUGGCUGUUAUCAACUCCGAUCCAUUCAGGUUCCCCAUGCCAGGAACUAACCUGCCAGUACUACUUUACUAGCUAGUAGCUUUUAAAUGGCAGCUGCAAACAGUCCUAAGAGCAAGUUCAAUAUAUAAGUUGAGACAAGUGUUAAUCUAUAAGACAAAUUAUAAUAGAUACAUUAUACAAUAAUAGUCUUUUUCUUGUCUACAACUAUUUAAUAUAUAAUUCUUUAUACUAAUAUGGUGAUGGUCCCACCAUUUACUCUCUUUCCUACCCUCCUCAUCACGAUUACUAUUGUACUUGCUCUAAUUGCCAAUUAACUUGCAUGCGGCGUAGUAGCGAAAACAAACAGACGUCCGUUCAUUUAGCUGAUAAGCAAUAUUAGAAAAUGCUCUUAGCUGAUUUGUUGUGAAAAAAUAUUAUUAUAUGAUAACAAAUUCGACUAAUAAAUUCAAACGAACCUGAAAAUCAGAUAGGAAUCUUGCAACGUGUGGCUGAGGCACGCGUGGCUCAAUGUACCGUACGGAUGGAUGAUUUUGAAUACAAGGGCAUAUCUGCACGCCAAGCGGGAAGGCAGGCGCAUGACGACGCUACUAGCUUUAUAUACGUGUGUGUCUCCUUUAUCUAGGUGUUUGGUGGACCACCAUAUAUAUCAUCACCAUAGCCGACGUACGACGAGUCUAAGACGACCCAAGAAUCAUGCAUGCACAAAGCAUUGGCUUAUUAUACCAAAGAGCGGCUUAUAUCAGCUCGUUGCCUUUAAUUUUCAAAUUCAAACAUGUCUACUAUAGUUCGUUAUUUGUCUUAGAGACAUUAGGAUAUGUGUGAUGACUGACGACACGACACACAUUCAACUCUUGUCCUAUGAAAUUUGACAUAUGAGACACGUCAGCUAUAUAUAUUCCCGAAUACAUAAUCGGGAUUCAGGUACGUGAUCUCUUCUCUGUCCAAUUCCCUAAUCCCUAAUCUGUCCAAUUCUCUAUUUUAUGAAGUUGCAGUUAAUAAUUGUUUAUCUAAUUUUAACAUGAUCAUUUCAUAUGUUUAUGGCAAUGACAAAAGAAAGAAGGAAACAUGAAUAGAUGAUUUAAACAAUCACAGAGAGAGGCUCUACAUAAUGUGAGUUAUCUUGAGUAUGUUGUUGGGGACUCAACCACGCCUCCCCCCAGCUGCAUUGGGAGUAAAAGAACUCAGCCCGGUCUCGAUCACCUAGCCUUCGUCCUCGUAACCUUCGUACAAUAAGGACCGAAGGUUCAGUAAAAGUUAACGCUAAUACGGUUUGACUUUGUAAGACAGGUGUUUAGAAAUCGGCCCGGCGCAGAGGACCACUAUUGAUUGCUCAUCCCUCGGUCACUACUCGCGAAGGUUGCGGAGCCCCAGACAAGGGCGAAGCAAGGGAUCUCCUGACGAUGGGAGCUGAUCCUUUGGCAUAUGGGCGGCGAAGGAUCCGCAAGCUUCGGUGAGGGCCGGGCGAAGGAUGAAGCGACGCGAGGAUCAAAGUCCUAAUGUAACAACCUCUAAAAUGUUCUUGAUUAGGGAUUACCUGAGUGCUCUUGUGGUCCGUACACCGUGGUGGCAACCAAUUUGAUGGUAACCGUAUUAGACCCGGAGAUUCCACUACUAUUAUACGUAGCAGCCUCCGAACAUAUAGUUAGCGCGGUCUUGGUACACGAGAAGCAGGAAGAGAACACAAUCCUAGAGAGGCCCGUUUACUAUGUCCCUGAAGCUUUGUCAGGGCCAAAACUAAACUAUAUGAAAAUUGAGAAAAUCGCCUACGCGGUAUUAACCGCCUCAAGAAAGCUGAAGCAUUAUUUUCAUAGUCAUGAGAUCAAGGUCCCAACAUCACAACCCUUGGGGGAUAUCCUCAGGAACAAGGAAGCCUCUAGAAGAAUAGGCAAAUGGGCCACCAAAUUGUCUCAGUUUGACAUCACGUAUGUCCCCGGAACCACAAUCAAAUCGCAAGCACUAGCAGAUUUUAUGGCCGAUUGGAUACCUUUGGCGCGAGCGGAUGCGAAGGAAAAUCACCAAACAUGGACCCUAUUCAUAGAUGGAGCAUGGGGACAAGCAGGUGCAGGAGCUUUGGUAGUUUUAAUCGCCCCGUCUGGCUUAAAGUCAAAAUACGCAACAAGAUUAGAAUUUAAGGCAACAAACAAUAUAGCAGAGUGUGAGGGACUCAUCCUGGGACUAAACAAAGCGAAGGCAACAGGAGAAAAAACCCUAUUAAUCAACACAGACUCCCAGAUCGUAGCCGAGCUGGUCGAAAAAGAAUAUCUAGCUCACAACUAAGAACUGACGAAAUAUCUGGUAGUGGUAAGGAGACUUGAAUGAAGGUUCAAGGGAUUCAUGCUCCGCCAUGUUCCAUGAUCUGAAAACCAUGAAGCAGACGAAUUAGCGAAGGCUGCAGCAAACAACUUGCCCAUCUCACGAGAGACCUUCUAUCAGGUUCUCAAGUUGCCUACGAUAGAGUCUAUGCCAAAGGCAUUCCGCAAAGUGUUACUUGCAGAAGACGAGGACUGGAGGCAAGCAAUCAUAGAUGCCGUGAACAACAAGGCAAGCACAGAGGAUGAGGUGGCAGCCAGAAGAAUGGAGGCAAGGGCAAGAAAUUACACCAUUAUUGAAGGAAAUCUGUAUAAGAAAGGUGUAGUCCAACCCUUGCUAAAGUGCAUAUCUCAAGAAGGCAAGGAGCUCCUAAAAGAAACACAUGAAAGCAUGUGUGGCUCUCACAUAGGGCCACGAGCACUAUCAGCAAAGUCCAUAAGACAUGGAUUCUAUUGGCCAACACACAUCAAGGACACAAAGCACAUUGCAAGAACCUACGAAGCAUGCCAGAGCUUCGCACCACAUUAGUAAACCCCUUAGCAUACACACAGCCCAUAGCACCAACUUGGCCCUUGUGAAGAUGGGGGAUGGACUUGGUAGGUCUUUUGCCAACGGCACAGGGGGGAAACAGGUUCGCUGUUGUUGCAAUAGAAUACUUCACUAGAUGGAUCAAAGCAAAACCACUAGCGAUAAUCACUUCAGAAACAAUGAAGAAGUUCUUCUGGUAGAACAUCGUGUGCAGAUUUAGAGUCCCAAGCUUGUUGAUGGUGGACAACAGAAAACAAUUUGAUUUAGAAAAAUUCAGAUAGUUCUGCCAAAGCAUAGGAACUAAGAUUGCCUUUGCUUCAGUCUAUUACCCAGAAUCAAAUGGAGCAGUAGAAAGAGCAAAUAGGAUAGUAUUCUCUGCAAUUUCCAAUACACUGUUCAACCUCCGCAAAGGAAAAUAGAUAGAAGAACUACCAAAAGUUGUGUGGUCACACAACACGACCACCUCAAGAGCCACAGGGUUCACCCAUUUCAAACUCCUGUACAGCGAGGAAGUGAUGCUCCCGAAGGAAGCCAAGCAUCAAAGCCUCCACACCAUGAAGCAAUUACUAGCCGAAGAUGAAGGCUAUUGCAAAGAAACAGUCAAAGGAGCAAGGCUAGAAGCUAUGGAAAAUAUCAGCAAGUUCCAGCAAGAGGCCAAAAGAUGGAGGGACCAAAAUGUCGUAAGAAAGAACAUACAAGACGGGGACUUAGUCCUCAGGAGAAAAUAAAAUUCAACAGGCGUAGGCAAGCUUCAACAAAAGUCGGAAGGACCCUACACGGUGAAGCAAGCAGGAAAACUAGGCUCAUUCCACCUAUACGACCAUGAAGGAAAAGCCUCCGCACACACAUGGAACGUAGACAACCUACACAGAUUUUACAUGUGAAUGUAAGGCUAGCCUUUGCAAAAUUAUAAGCAAAGGCGACCAAACUUACCAUUCUCUCUAGGAUCUAUUUUUGUUUUUACUUUUCAUACAAGGACUGCACUCUUUGUCUCACAGCGGUACUCCUAGCGAAGGUAAGGUUUUUAAUGAGGCAGAACCUAUGUAAAACCCUCUAGAAUAUAAAGAGGAAUUACCCCACAAAAAAAUCAUAAGACAUUAGAAGUCGAAAAUGGCCAGCAACGGGGCCACAAUAUUCGACAAAAAAGCAUUACGCAAAAUGAGGACCCUCCGCAGCAUAAAGUUGAAGGCUCAAAAUGCUCAAUAGUGAAAAAACACCAAGGCCUUCGCAAAAGACCUGGCAAAAAACCAGGCAGCAAGGUCAACCCAGUCAAAAAUGACAAAACACCCAAUCCUAACAAAGACCUAACGAAACCUCAGGCUUCAGGACGCGCAAAUAGAAUUUUGCAAUGUAGCUCCGCAAAAGACGUCGAAGGAUGCCAAAACCUAGGCAAAAUGUUAAUGCCAAAAGCAAGCAUAAAAUUAAUAAGCACUUGAUAGCUUCAACAACCACAACCACCAAAGUAUGCCCGACAAUAAUGCCUCAACUAACAAAGUACACGUAGUCAAAUAAGCAACCACUAUAAUACCAAACACCCCAGCAACGUAAACCUCAGUCAGGAGGAAGCUAUCACAAAUUAGACACAUAGCCCGAGCACCAAAAGCGUGAAAGCAAGAAACAAUUCAAGCAUGGAGGCAGGAGUGAGCUUAUCUAGUAGCACCACUACUAGUAUAGCAUGAAGACUCGUAAUAGGUAGACCUAGAGAAGGAGCAAUGAAACCCAAGGGCAGAGCACGCUACCCACGACACUGUGAUGAACAGUUGCCACAGGGUUGUGUACAACUCCAACAACAACAAUGCAUGCAAGUAUCAAAGGUUACGAAAGGGUAUUGCAUGAAGUCUCGUAACAUCCCCCGCAACCGAGAAAACAUCAUCGCGAAGGUCAGCCUCACCAAUAUUUUUUUUGAUGGGAGCAACUUGCUAAUGCCAACAAGAGCAAGCCAGCAAAGGCACCCAACAAGAUAAGGCUCCGCAAGCACAAGAACCCCAAAAAAGCCAACCUUCGCAUGACUAAGACCAACCAACGCCUUCGCAACAUCUAAUGCCAAUCACGGCACGACUACAACAACGCAAAGAUCCUUAGGGUCAACACCACAGUGACACGCAGGUUCGGCCACGCAACAAGCUGAUUAGCUAAAUAUAGAGGAGGAAAAUACAAAGUAGUUGCAAGCACCAAAAGUGUAAUAAGAUGUCUCAUCCAAAAUCAAGCUUUAUUCAUAUUAACAAUGACCACAAGCGCCAUUACAUCAAGAAAAGAAGGAAACAAAGUUAAAAUUACAAAUUUAAUCAUAAUCCUCAAAACUAAAACCUUCAUCACUUAAACGAUGAAGGAUUCAACUAUCACGAAUAAUUCUAACGUUGUUUAAAGGACCAAAGAUUUGUAUGUAACUGUAGUAGCCACGGGUGACAAACUCAACCAAGUCAUCCACCGAGCACAAAGGAAACUCGCAACGCCACCAAUCCAAAAUCCACCUAUUGAUGUAAAGAUCUACCCGCUUCAGAGUCUCAGGAGACACAUAUCUUGCAGAAUAAGAUAAAGUAGAUCCCUGUUGGAAAUCUUGUGUAGAAGCACCAUGCAAAGGCCUAGGAAGAGCAAUAUGAAAAACAAAAAAAGAAGGAAGCCCAGUAUAGAACACACCGUUAUACACGUCAAAACCCUAAUCUUCACGCUGAAAUCACCAACCUCUGGGCGACCAGGAAGGUAAAGCUCUGCCAUAAGGUCGAAAUCCUUUGGCAAAUAAGGCAAAAAUCCUUCAUCGUCUAGCAUAACAAAAUGCAAAGCAAAUCCCUCCACAUCAUCGCGUGGAACAGGCUCGCCAAAAACUCACAAAUGUGGGUAUGAAGGCUUCGCCAAAGAAAUAAGCACAAUUUAAGCCUAACCAAACAACAAUAAAAAUGAAAAAUGACAAAAAAAGAACAACCUAGGAUGGAGGCUAGGUUCCAUGGUGCGCAAGUGAACGAACAAAUUCCGAUCGCUCAUUGUCAAUAUCGAACUCAAUAAACUCAAACAUGUCUACAACGUCGCGAGAAGGGAAAGCAACUCACCAAUAUUCGUUGAACUCCGCCUUAACAAAAAUUACAUUAUAGAAAAAAGACAAUGGAACGACAUCACACACCUCCUGCGUAGGUCCUCCGUCAGAGACCUACACAGGGAAAAGCACAAAUACAACUUUAAUGAACAAAGGUAAAUAGAAAUAAGCAUAAGACAAUAAUCUCUAUACAAAAGCAAGACACAAGACAACGUAGUUUUUUACAAACGUCAUACUGACGCCUAAACCUAGCCUAACAAACCCUCACACCUAAGGAGAGGCGGGCCUAUCCAAAGGACUGGUCUCCUUCGACUCAUCAGCAGCGCGACCUUCACCAUCGAAGCCCUUACUCUUCGCCUUCGAGCUAACGGCCGGAGGAGCAUCGAGGCUUAGAGCAGUCGACUUGCCCGCUGCUUCAGCCUUUGCCUUCCGCUUCUCAGCCUCCUGCCAACCAAGUCAAACUCAAUCACCAAAAGAACCAAAAAAACCCAAAAAUAACUAACC
This 64225-nucleotide long non-coding RNA is filed under the name Sorghum bicolor (sorghum). RNAcentral describes it as "long non-coding RNA (SBIC_LNC008024)". The record is from RNAcentral. Lineage: Eukaryota; Viridiplantae; Streptophyta; Magnoliopsida; Poales; Poaceae.